RNAcentral lists this long non-coding RNA (74699 nucleotides) under Theobroma cacao (cacao). RNAcentral's name for it is "long non-coding RNA (TCAC_LNC004892)". The record is from RNAcentral. Lineage: Eukaryota; Viridiplantae; Streptophyta; Magnoliopsida; Malvales; Malvaceae.
CCUUUCAACUCAUUUCAACCAAAUAAACAAAUAGGCUUAUGAUUUCCUGAAAAGCUUGGCUCGUGCCAAAAAUCAUUCUCAUACUCAGUUAUCAGGGAUACCUUGAUCGAGGGUUAUCCCAACCGAGUCUGCCAAGGCUGUUAAAUGUCUUUACAUCUGAAAUUUUAGCCAUGCCUUGGCGUUGGCUGAGUCUCACUCUCACGCGGUGGUCCACGUGAAGUGCACUCAAAUCUUUACCUCAGGAGAUACAUCAUCCAACAUCUCCUCCUGGAGGUAAAUAUAUAAUUGGGUUACCGUGCUCCUCUCAUAGACAGUCCACAGAAACCCCUACCACUGUAGUGACUAUGGAUUAUUUUAUCUACCACCUGAUUUAUAAAAUCUUUUUCUGCAUGACAUGGCAAUUUAUCGCAACCUAGCCUCUCAAGGCUGAAUACAUAGUACAAAUAAUUUUAACACAAAAAAUCAGUUUAGCCAUUCAUGCUCAUAUAUUGUCAUAAUCCAUUCAAUUUAAAACCAUAAAAUUACAACACAUCAAGUGGUCUCCAAAUACUCUAUUUUCAAAACCAUAAUUCAAUUUCAAGAUAAUUUAUAAAAUCAUUUUAUUUAAACACAUUUUACUUAUAAAACAUAAGGAUUUACCAUUUAACUCAUUUUUCCAUAAAAUCACAAAAACGAAUAAAAACUACUUUAGAUAAUUAAGACGAUAGUAAGGUUACUCACAGUUCUAGGAGUCGGUGUACUCCUAAUCCCAGUCUCCAAGCACAAUCUCUGUACUUUUACUAGUGUAAUUUACUCACCACGUAUCCACAAUGUACAAUACAUAAUUCACCACAUCAAUGCUUGACCAUUAUAAAAUCAAUUCAGGCUUGGUGUAUAUGCAUGAUAUGAUAUGCAACUUAUCCGACUACCGCUUAAAUGCGGUGCUGACCUAAUUCAGCCUAUUACCUGAUUAAAUGAUAAUUGUGUCCGAUUUGGCUCCAAAUUGCUCCAUUUCAUUUCUAAUAUUUCAAUUCACUAAAUACAAUUCCAAUAAUCUAAAAUUCAGCCUAACAACCCUCACAAUUCUUCUUAAAAAUUUCGGCCAUUGUGGUGCACUAUCACUAAAAAUUUUCUCAUUCUAUUUUCUCACCAUAAAUCAUCAUUUCAUCAAUUUUUCAACCAAUUCACUUGAUCACAAAAUUAAUUCAUUACUUCCACACUUCACAUAGGGUUCGUCCAUUGAAGGUUCAUGUGGAAAAUGGAUUCUUUUCUUGUUAUUUUGUUUCUAAACAUGCUUAACUAACUAAAAACACUAACCUAACUUAGAAUCAAAUCAAUCUAACACCAUUCUCUCUCCAUACCCAUUUUGACCAGCCAUGAAUUCACCAUGAAAGCAUGUUUUUCAACCAUGGAAAUUAAGGGAAAAUGCAUGGGUAAGGUAAAUCACUAGCAAAAUCAAAGAAAUUUUACCUUUGCUUGAUCAAAUCCUUGAAUUUAUGCCUUUUUAUAAAGAAACAAUAAAAUAAUAAAAGCAUGAUACAUGGCAUUUCCUUAUUGGUUCAAAUUUUAAAUAUUUGACUUUUAAUUCUUUAAUUCUCCACCACACAUUUCUCAUGUUUAUCCAUUUCCAUGAUGAAUAAAAUCACUUGGUCUUGACAAGUGUCAGGGGUAAAAAUUUACCGAUUUGCCCCCGGGAUGACAAAAUUACUAUUUUGCCCCUAUACUCCAAAGUAUAUCGGAAUUAAAAUUUUUCACUUCUAAACUUCAAAUCAUACUCCAAUAAGUCAAAUGGGGCCAAAAAAAUCUUUUCUAAAAUUUUUCAUUUUGUCCCCAAGUGGCAAAUGACUAUUUUGCCCCUGUAUAGUGAAAAUUCUGGUUUGACUCCAAAUUGAUCCUCAAACUCCAAAUCACCAUUUUAAAUGAUUCCUGGACUGUGAAACUCUUAAUUUCACCUUAAAAUUCCUAUUUGAACUAAUUCGAGGCUUAAUCGACUUAAUGAUACCAUUAAGGGCAAUAUCGUCUUUUAACGAUUUUCUCAAACUUCCUAAAUAUGCAACCAUUCUAUUGAGCAUGUACAUGACGUCGUAAUUAUUUUAUAGAACAGGGUUUGACAAUUAGCUUUAUGGAGACUUAUGAAACUCAUUUCAUAAUCUCCUAAUCACCUUGGCCAAGGAUUUGAUUAAGCUAAUGUCAACCAGGAACUAAUGAGAUAUUUCCCCUCGAAUCACUUGGAGUGAUGAUUCUUAUCUUGACCACUCAUUUACCUUCAUAUGCUUCAUACUAUACUAAAAAACAUCUUGUUUUGGCAUCCUUGAUUAGGCACCCAUAAGGAUGAAAUCAAAUCAUAGUACUCCACAUACAAGACAACUUGGUGUCUCAAGUCUAGGGAAUAGUUACGCAGCUAACACAUGAGAAGUAUUGCAUAGACACUUGAGUGAAAUACCAAAUGCACUUCUCAUGGUGGGUCAUGUUCAGUGAACUCGCUAUCCCAUGCAAGCACCCACAUGUUAGUUCAAAGUAUCUCUAUACUUCAACCUAUGAAAACGAUUGCUUACUUUACAAGUAAGGAACAUAACAUGUGCCAAUCUUUGAGCAUUAUUGAUGCUCUGUCUCAAUAAUACAAUGAUCUGGAACUUUUAGGAACAAUGCUUUAAUGCAUAAGGAUCUCAUAAUUGUAUCCCAAUACAAUUCCUUUGCAAGGCAUAUAUAGUUCCAUGAGCUUUAUCUACAUAAGUACAAAAAGUAAUUAAAUUACAAACUUAUGGAUAAAGAACUACCUCAAUGUUAUUAUGAAUAAAAAAAUGUCAUACAUGAUUAUCUCACAAUUGUAGUUCCCAAACAACCACAGAUUGGCUUGAAAGGCUUUUACUAACAAUCUCCCAAUAGCACUAAAGCCAAUUGCCUAUGUAUCUAAUACCAAUGUUCUCAACAUGACACUUAUGCCUCUGCUGGGACAGUGCUUUAGUGAGAGGAUCAGCAAUAUUAUCCUCAGUGGGUAUACACUCUAUGUAAAUGUCUCUUUUUCCAAUGAUCUCCCUGAUCACAUGGUAAUGCCGCAAUACAUGUUUGGAUUUCUGAUGAGACCUUGGUUCCUUUGCUUGUGCAAUAGCUCCAUUGUUACUACAAUAUAAAGGUAUUGGAUCAACAAUGCUAGGAACCACAUCUAGUUCAGUAAUGAACUUCUUAAUCCAAACUGCCUCUUUUGCUACCUUAGACGUAGAGAUGUAUUCGACCUCGGUUGUAGAAUCUGCAGUCGUCUCUUGUUUGGAACUUUUCUAACUCACUGUACCUCCAUUGAGUGUGAAUACAUAUCAACUUUGCAACUUUCUAUCAUAUUUGUUAGUUUGAAAGCUUGCAUCCGUAUAACCCUUAACUUGGAGUUUACCUCCUCCAUAAACCAGAAAUACAUCCUUAGUUCUUCGUAAAUACUUCAAGAUGUUUUUCACAACUAUCUAGAAACUUUCACUAGGAUUAGCUUGGUAUCUACUCGUGACACUUAGAGUGUAAGAUACAUCUGGUCUAGUGCAAAGCAUUGCAUACAUGAUAGAUCCUACUGUUGAAGCAUAUGGGAUCUUAUCCAUGCGAUUUCUCUCUUCUUGAUUCUUUGGACACGUGUCCUUGGAGAGAUAGAUGCCUUGUGACAUAGGCAAGUGUCCCUUUUCGGACUCCAUCAUGUUAAACCUCUUUAGCACCUUGUCUAUGUAUGUGGAUUGGGAAAGACCUAACAACCUUUUAAAUCUAUCUCUAUAGAUCUUUAUUCCUAGAAUAUAAGUUGCUUCUCCCAAAUCCUUCAUGGAGAAUUGUUUGGACAGCCAAAUCUUUGUUUAUUGUAGCAAUGGUAUAUCAUUUCCUAUGAGCAAUACGUCAUCAACAUAUAACACUAGGAAAAUUAUGGCACUCCCACUAACCUUUUUAUAGACACAUGGUUCAUCCUCAUUUUUGAUGAAGUCAAACCCUUUUACAGCUUCAUCAAAACGGAUGUUCCAACUCCGAGAAGCUUGCUUAAGUCCAUAAAUGGACUUUUGAAGCUUGCACACCUUAUUAGCAUUAGCAUUGGAUAUAAAACCUUCAGGUUGUGUCAUGUACACUGCCUCUCGCAAGUUUCCAUUAAGGAAUGCAGUUUUUACAUCCAUUUGCCAUAUUUCAUAAUCAUGAUAUGUCACGACCCGGAACCUCCCUCGGGCACAUGACAACCGUCGCGACGUCCCGAUUGACACUCAUUGCCCGAAAUGCCAAUCGAAACCCCGCAAGGCUUACAUAUCAGUUUCUUGCCUUUUCUGUGAGCAAUCGUUUUUAAACAUUCCGUUUUAAAUAAUUACCAGUCGUUUCCGGCUCAAGUAAAUCAAAAGACAAAAAUAUAGCAUUUUUAUAUAAAACAAUAUUUAUAGAAACAUGUGUAAGUAAAAUAAAUUCAUGCAUACAAUAAUUUACAAAGUUAUAAUGUACAAUAAUAAUUACAAUGACAAGUGGUCCCUAAAUACACCAAGUGUUGGUGAUAGUAACCUAUUGUUUGUGAGAUAGAGAGGUCAACUGGAAUCCUCGACAAAAUCGGUAUCUACAAGCUACCACAAGCCUACAAUAUUUGGAAAGGAGGUGGGUGAGAUUUCGCAAUCCCAAUGAGUAAACAGACAUUAUCAUAAAUAUCUAAAGGUGAGUAACAAGGAGGCAAGUUUAAACAACAAAUUACAAACCAUUUCAUAAGGUUUUCAAUUUAUUUCUUAAACCAUAAAAUAUUUGUAAUUUAUCAAAACAGUUGUUAAGGCUUCUGACUUUUAUUAAAAAACAAGGCUCAAGCCAAAACUAAUCCUCCGGGAUACCUUGGCCGAGGCAUCUAACCGAGUCCGCCAAGGUUGUUAAGAUAUUUACAUGUGAAACACAUUUUUAUUUUAAAACAAGUCGUUCCUUGGCGUUGGCCGAGUUACACAUUCAAGUGGGGUUCGACGUGAAGUGAACUCGAACACUACCCCAGGAGUUACCCUCCUCGCCUCUACUAUCGGAGUAACUAUAUAACCAAGUUUACCGUGCCCCUCUAAUAGGCAGUCCACGGAAACCCGUCACUGCAGUGACUAAACCCACCCAUUUUAAUAAAAUUUCGACAGUAUAACGUGACUUUUAUUUAUUUACCCAACUUGCAUAGUAAAAACAGCUUACAUAAAUUUCCAAUGCAAUUUAUCAAAUAUAGCCACAUAUACUCAUAUUUCACAAGCCAUUCGUAGGAAAAUAUAUAUUUCAAAAUAAUUGGCAGCCUCCAAUUACUCAAUUUCAUAAUCAACACAAUAUAUUUUUAUUUGUCACAUUUAUUUCUAAAACAUCAAAAAUCCCAUUUUAAUCUCAUUUUCAUUACAUAAAAUCCAUAAAGAUCAUUUAAAAAUAAACUCUAGAUAAUUUACAAUAAUAAUAGGUUUACUCACCGUUUGUACAAACUAAUUGCUUUUUAUGUGCCCCGAUCACUGUUCAUCGGGUACGACUUCUUUGCCUUUACCGGAAGGCUCUCCUCCUAAACACAUUGCAAAAUUUACCCAAUUCACCACAUUGAUGCUAAAUCACUAUAUAAUUGACUUAAAUCCUAUACUAAUGUAUGGUAUGAAAUGCAAUAGCCUAAAACGGCUUAAACGCGAUAUUAACCUAUUUUUUGCACUUUACCAGUUAAAUUGCUAACGUGCUCCAUUUUAGCUCUAAAUUUUCCCAUUUUCUCUCCAACAUUUCUAACCAUUAAAUAUCAGCCAAUAACCUUCUAAAAUCACCAAAAUCAGCUCACUUUCCUCCUUGGAAAAUUCGGUCAAAAAUGGGACAUUUACUCGGUUAAUUUUCCACUUUGUUUUUCUAUCACAUUUAACCAUUUUUCAUCAUUUUCUCUUCAUCUCUCUUAGAAUAAAAAUCAGUUCAUCAUCAUUGUACAUCAUUGAACAUUCAGCCAAGGGUGGGUAUUGUGAAAAUUUCAUGCUUUCUUCCAAUUUGAUUUCUAUACACAUUUAACUAACUAAAAAUAUCAAUUUAACUAAAAAUCAAAACAUAAAAAUUUCAAAUUCCUCCCCCUUGAAUUUCAUCCAGCCCUUGAUAUCAUUUUUUGAUCUCUCUCUUCAAGCAUGCUAAAUGGAAAAAAAGGCAUAAGAAAGGUAGAAAUCAAGCUAAAGUAAAAAAAUCUUACCGUUAGACGCGUAAACGGUCGAAAAACGUGAUUUUUCCUUUGAAUUUUUUAGUUUUCCUUUGUUUUUCUCUUUUCUUCCUUUCCUCUCUAUUUUCUCUCUUGUUCUUUCCUUAUGGCCGGCCAGCACUUAAUAUGGGGUUUAAAUGGGCUGACUUUUCAUUAAAAUAAUAUUAAAUCAUUAAGAAGUGCCAUGUGUCACUUUCCCAUUGGCUCGUUUUUAAAAUUUCAUCCAUUUGUUUUCAAAUUUUCACCAUACACUUGUCCCAAAUAUCCAUAGCUUAGAUAAAAUUCUCAGACUUAUCCAAAGUCUUGGUGGAGUAAUUUUUGAAAUUUACACUUUUACCCCCGUAAAAGUGAAAAAUUACAUUUUUGCCCAAAAAACUGAAAAAUUGCCCAUAGACAUAUUUUUCAUCCCUUAUACUCAUACCAUUCCCCAAUUUGUCAAAUUUGAUCUAAAUUAUCUCAAAAUCUCAAAUUUUGUCUGCGGGUGGUAAAAUUACGAUUUUGUCCCUAAACAUCAAAAUUUCCAAUUUUACCCCAAAUGAACCCUCGAACUCUGAACAAUCAUUUUUAGUCAUUCCUGGACUGUAAAAUAUUAAAUUUCAUCCUAUGAUUCCUAUUUGAACUAGUUCGAGGUUAAAUCAACUCAAGUGUACCGUUAGGUACAAUACCGAGUUUUGUCUAUUCUUAGUACUUUCCUAGCAUAAUAACAUGCUACUCAGUGCAUGUAUGUCAUGACAUGUGUUUAUAGGGUCGGGUUUUACAUGGUAUGCAACAAUUGCAAGCAAAAUCCUAAUAGAUUUAAGCAUAGCAACUGGUGAAAAGGUUUCUUCAAAGUUAAUAACUUGUCUUUGUUUGUAACCUUUUGCUACCAGUUUAGCUUUAAAGGUUUGCACCUUGCCAUUUACAUCGGUCUUUCUCUUAAAGACCCACUUGCAUUCAAUGUGUUUUAUCCCUUUAGGUGGAUCCACCGAAGUCCAUACUUGGUUGGUAUCCAUGGCAUCCAUUUCAGAUUUCAUGGCUUCUAGCCAUUUCUCAGAAUCGAUGUCCAACAUCACCUCCUCAUAGGUUGUAGGCUCAUCAUUUAUGGGCAAUGCGUCCCUUUCCAAGAGAAAUCCAUAUCUUUUUGGAGCUUGAUGUAUUUUGCUAGACCCUUUGAGUGGUUGUGCCUCUUGAGAUUGUGGUUGUACAUCAGAUGUCACAAUUUCAAGCUCAAGUUCCAAUGGAAUGUCAAUUUGUGGGUCUUGAACUUUUUCAAGUACAACUUUACUCCCACUAGCCCUUUCAUUUAAAAACUCUUUCUCAAGGAAAGUGGCAUGCCUUGAGACAAACACCUUUUGCUCAAUGGGAUUAUAAAAAUAAUAUUUGUGUAUUUCUUUAGGAUAUCCCAGAAAUUUACAUUUGUCUGAUCUCGCUUUUAGCUUAUCAGACAUUGUAUGCCUCACAUAAGCAGUACAUCCUCAAAUCCUAGCAUAAGACAAGUUGGGCCUUUUCCUACUCCAUAUAUUAUAUGGUGUUUUAUCAACUGAUUUGGUAGGAACCUGGUUCAGUAUGUGAGCAGCAGUUUCUAAGGCAUAUCCCUAGAAAGAUAUAGGAAGAUCUACAUGACUCAUCAUGGAUCAAACCAUGUCCAAUAAUGUUCGAUUCCUUCUCUCAGGCACCCCAUUGUGCUGUGGAGUCCUUGAACGAGUCCAUUGUGCGAGAAUCCCAUUCUCUUUCAAAUAAUCCUGAAACUCUUGGCUAAGAUAUUCUCCUCCUUGAUUAGAUCUAAGAGUGAGAAUACUCUUUCCAGUUUGUUUCUCAACCUUUGCUCUGUAUUCUUUGAACUUGUUAAAGGAUUCAGAUUUAUAUUUCAUCAAAUAUACAUAACCAUAGUGAGAAUGGUCAUAUGUGAAGGUGAUGACGUAUGAGUAUCCUCCUCUAGCACUAGUAUUCAUAGGACCACAUACAUCCGAAUGUACAAGUCCUAGUAACACCUUAGCUCAUUCACCCUUCUUGGUGAAAGGCGACUUGGUCAUCUUACUAAGGAGACAACACUCACAUGUUCCAUAAGAUUCAUAAUUAAAUGGAUCGAUAUAACCUUGUUUGUGUAACUUGGUUAAGCGAGUCUCAUCGAUGUGUCCAAGCCUACAGUGCCAGAUGUAGGAUAGUUUUGGAUCAUCUUUCUUUGCUUUCUUAACCUCUAUAUUGAGUAUGAGUCUCUUGGGAUCAAGAAUAUAGAGACCGUUCGAAUGUGUCCCUGCACCAUAAUGUAUCUCUUCCUUUGAGAAAGAACAAUAAUUGCCCUUAAUGCAAAAUUCAAUAUCAUCAUAUAAUGCCAAGUAUGACAUAGAUAUGAUAUUUCGAGAUAUGGAAAGAACAUAGUAGCAGUCUCUUAAUUCCAAGAUCAACCUAGAAGGUCAAGGUAUAGUAACUGUCCCCAUAGCUGAUGCAGCAACCUUUGCUCCAUUUCCUACUUUUAGGACCACCUCUCCCUUCGUUAAUCUUCUACUCAUUUCCAGCACCUUCAUGUCAUUACAUAAGUGUGACCUACAUCCAGUAUCUAAUACCCAUGAUGAUGGAUCAAUAAUAAAUGGAUUUACUUCAAUCUUAUACAUGGUCAAAGGUGAAACUUCUACAAGUUUCUCAUUCUUUGACCUUGUCAAGAAGGCAAUGAUAUCUUGCUUAAUGACAUCUAUUCUAAAUAGAUAUUUGAGAACAUUUCUCAACUUGAUAUACCAGUCUAAACAUUUUGGCCCGAAUUUCAUGAUGACAUCAAGUAUGCCGUGCAAAGUAAUAUCACCUUGAGAGAUCUCUACAAGGAUUCUCUUAGUGGGCUAGGAUCCUUAUCCAUUCUAAUCAUGACCUUGAGUGUACUCUGUCAUGACUCAAAUUCCAAGCCAUGAUCGACGCAUGGGCCCAAUGGACGUAGCCCACUAAGCCCAACAAGCCUCUUUACGUAAUCUCGUUCAUUAUCCCAUCAAUUUUUCAUCACCAUUACUAUACCAGUAUUUGUAAUUUGCAACUAGACGUAUUUUCAUAAUACAACAUAGAUACCAAAAAUUUACAUUUUUUUUAUGAUCUCAAAAUAAGGUUAUUCAUAGCCAUCUCAUAAUGGCACCAUCAUUCUAAACUAUACAUGCUUCGUUAGCAAAGUGAUUCCUAGCAAUUUACAUUUAAUGUACAUGUACUCAUAUAAAAGACUUCUGACGACCAGUUGAGUGACUUUAGUGAGGGUACGACUAUCGAAUGCCAUGAUACCUACCAAGAGUGAAUGCAAGUGGACGCCUUAGUCUCGGUCUCAACUAUCUACAAAUAUGAAAACAUGUAAUUUAAAAGAGUGAGUAUAAACUCAGUGAGUGAACAUAAGAAGGGAACAAGCAAUGAUAAGGAUUGUUUUAGAAAACAUGAUGCACUUACGAUAAACCAUGCAAUUUAGUCUAAUUUUUUGGUUAAAACCCCUCAUUUCAAACUUUGAAUGUUUAAUCCCUUAAUGUUACAAAAUCCAUGAUGAACCAUAAAGUUGAAUAGAAUGAAAAUUUUAGCAAUAACAAAGCAAGACAAACAAAUAGAGGGUUUUCUUGCUACAGCGAAAAGGCAUUCUUGGUUUGUAUAUGCUUUGGUUUUUCAAGCAUAUCUCAUACUAAAGAAGUCCAAUUGACAUGAUUUUUAAGUCAUUAAAAGGCUAAGAGGCUGGGCUACAAUGUUGAUGUUUACCACACUUUGCUCAGUUCUGAUCGAAAGGUAGUCAAAAUCUUUGUCAAAGUGAAAACACUGCACCAGAAUUUUGGAACCACCCGAGAGUUUCUCGUUGCAGCGAGAAUUAAUCUCGCUGCAGUGAGAAGCUUUAGGAAAUUUCUCACUGUAGCGAGAAUACAUUCUCGCUGCAACGAGAACCAGGCCAGUGUAACGCCUCCAACUCGAGAGUUUCUUGCUGCAGCGAGAAACAGAACAAUUAGUUAAAAGGGCUAUUGUUACAUCAAAAAGCCAUUUUCUUGCUAAAAUGAAAAGCAAUUUGGGAGCAAUUAACAAUGCCAACAUACAACACAAUCACAAUUAUUUUCAUAAACUUUCUAUAAUAUAUAUAUAUAUACAUACAUCAUCAUGCAUACCAUCCCGCCACACUCAGCUCAUGUGCACUUCCUACACGCACAAUGCAAUAUCAUCAUCAUCAGCUCAUGUGCACUCCCACACUGCACAUAGCUGGGUCAUCAUCAGCUCAUGUACACUCCUAGACCGCACAUAGCUAGGUCAUCAUUAUCACAUAAAAGAAGUAUCCAAAGCAUAAUAUAUAUAUCAAUAUAAAGUGAGAACGCAUGAACUAUUCAUAUUGCACAUUUCACAAGAUAGAAACAUUUCAUCAGGGGCUUGUUCCCUAAGUAUAUUUUUAAAGCAAAAACAAAUUAAACUUUCAAAUGAUUUAUUUAAACAUGUAGGCACUUCCCAAAAUAUUUUGAAAUGCAAGUUCACUCACUGGUAUUUGUUAAAUCUUUACCCAACUCCAACUUCCUCUAAUGAUCCAAAUGGAGCGGUGGGGCUUCGUUGGAACCUAUCAUCACAUUAGCAUCAUAAUUAACUUAAUUCACAUAACUAUAAAUUCUAAAAGCUAUCUCCUAACUAGCUUCCAAUUGCCAUUAAGUGGCUAUCUAUUUUCAUUAUCCUAAUCACUCUAAAAUGAAUAAACAACCUCAACUACAAAACACUCACAAGUCUAAUCACUAGCCAUUCUCAACACUUCAAAAUCAACUUUACUUCACUACUCACCUUGGUAGCUUUAUAAUUAAAUCCCUUUCUAAGAGUUUUCAAGUUAUUGUAGAAGCUCUCUCUUUCUCUCUCUAAAACACCUAGCUAGUGAGAGAAAGUAUAGGAGUAAGACUUUUGAGGGUUUUUUAAGGUGAAUGAGUAAAAGAGUAUGAAAAGCCCUAUAACAAGGUGUGUAAAAGCAUGAAAUUUGAGGUUAACUUGAGAGGGUGAUGGAAGCUUUGAGAGAAGCUUUCAUGCAGGAUGAAAGAAACGUGAAUUGGGAUGAGAAGAAGAAGAAGCUGCUGGAGAAAUGAAGAAGUUGCUUGAAAAAUGAUAUUUUUAGCUAAAGCUUAUCCAAACUCUACUUAAAUUAUAAAAAUGCCCUUAACAAGUUGGCUUGUUCUCCUCCAAUCCUUUAUGUAAUCUUUUUACUCUUUUGACACUGGGACAAAGUCCAUAAUAGUCUAGAAAUACUCAGGUUCACAAAAACUUAAAAUUUUGACUCGAGAUGAAAAAUGACCAUUUUACCCUUAUCAUGGAAAUCAUCAUUAUUUCUAUUUCCUUCGUCAUUUUAUCCUUAUUUCAUCAUUCAUUUAUGCCUUAGGCCUACUUAGGCCUUAAUAUUGUUUGAAAGCAUACUUCUAGGGGCUCAUUAAGAAAAUGAUGAAAUUACCCUUAGUUUGUGAUAUUGCGUCUGGUUCUAGCUACGAGUCUUUAAAGAUCAAGGUCUCACAUGCUCAACAAGCCAUGAUAGUUGGAUUAGGUAGGUAACUGAGCUUACCAAUUGUAUCUCUAUACAACUCCUAGAUCAGCUAGGUGACAACAUGUCAAGCCCUACUCUAUUAUAUACUUGUCAUGUCAUUCAUGUACUUGAUAGCAUAUCUGCAUACUUGGAUGCCUCGAAAAAUCGUUAAAAAGUCGAUAUCGUACCUAGUGGUACAAUUAAAUCGAUUAAAACCUCGAACUAGUUUGAAUAGAGAUUUUAGGAUGUAUUUGAGAGUUAUUGAACCUUAGAAUGUCUUAAUAUGGUGAUUCGGAGUUCGAGGAUUAAUUUGGAGUCAAAUUAGGAAUUUUCAUAACGUAGGGGUAAAGUGGUCAUUUUGCCAUCAGAGGGCAAAAUUGAAAUGUUGGAUGAAAUUUUUGACCAAGUUUGACUAAUUGGAGCAUAUUUGAAUUUGAGAAAUGAAAAAUUUUAAUUCUGACAUUUUUCCGAACAUAAGGACAAAACAGUCAUUUUACGUGUCCACGAGGACGUAAUUGGAAUUUUUGGAAUUUUACACCACUAUAACACUUGGCAAGCCCAUGAAUUUCACCUAUUAUUAUUUUAUACUUUGGAUAGUUAAGAGAUUACAUAUGGUGGUGAGAAAAUGCUUAAUUGUUAAGUUUUAACCAUGGACCAAUCACAUGGUGACACAUGUCAAGUUCUAAUAUUUUUAUAAUUUCCUUUAUAAACUCUCCCAUUUCACUUUUCAUGGCCGGACAAAGGAAAGAACAAAGAGAAAAGAAUAGAAACAAACCCUAGAGAGGAAAAUUCAAGAGAAAUUUGUUGAAUUUCAAAGAACAAAGCUUUCAAAGGUAAGAUUUUUCAAUUUUAGCUUAAGAUCUACCUUUCCCAUGCUUUCUUUUUCACUUUCAAUGGAGGAAACACAAGUUUCCACGAGGGAAUACUUGCUGGCCGAACAUAGGGAGAGAGGUUUUGAUGGUGGAUUUUGCUAGAUUUCAUGAUAUCUUAGUGUUUUUAGUUGUUUGAUGAUGUUUGGCAUGAAAAACAAGCAAGAAAAUCACAUGCCCUUCAACAACCCUCUUUGGCCGAAUGUUAUAGGUGACAUGUUGAUGAUGGAUUUUGUUGUAUUUCAUGUUAUUUAGCUCGUAAUUGAUGAUUUAUGGUAUCAGAUAUCGAAAACGGCUAUCGAAAAGUAUAGUUCCUUUAGUAAAUGACUUGAACAAUAAUGAGAAAAUCAUAGUGAAUGGACUUGGAUUUGAUUCCUAAUGAUGUAGAUGGAUUUAUUGGAAUGUGUUAACACUGAUUAUCACGUUAGUUAGAAAUCAGAAUGAAUUUCGGUUAUGAUGAAUUAAGUCACAAUCAAGCUCAUUGAGGUACUUUGGUGUAUUUGGAAUAUUGGAAGUAUAAUGAAUAUAUUUGAAGUUGAAUAAGAUGUUUUGGUUAAUUCAAUAGUGUAUAGUUCGAGUUAGGUCGAAUACAAAUUCAGUCCGAUCAUAAUUGAACCCACGUAGGACAUCGUCUUUAAGUGAUUAUUCGAACAGUUCUCAUCCAAUUUCAUGCAUUCAUAUAGAGCCUGAAAUAGUUUUAUAACAGUUUGGCAUAAAUAUAUUGAAUUACGUGUCGUGUAUUAUGUAUAGGCGGUGAGCCCUCUGAUAAGGGUAAAUAUAUCAUACCCGAGGACCAAAAAUAGAAGUACUCCAAACUCCCGCUAUUGUGAGUAAUCAGACGAUCAUCUUAACUAUCUAAAGUAGUUUAUAUUCGUUUCUAUGAUUUUAAAGAAUAAUGAACUUAAACUGUAGAUUUUUAUGUUUUAUAAGUUAAGUGAUGGUUAAAUGAAUGAGAUUUAUAAAUUGUUUUGCAAUUCAAUGAUGAUUUUGGAAAUUGAGCAAGUGGAGACUAUAUACUUGUGUUAUCUAUAUAUAUAUAUAUAUGGUUUGAAUUGAUGGCUUAGGACAAUGUGAUGGCAUGAAUAGUUGGAUUUGUGGUUUGUGGAUUAUAUGAACUGUUUUGUUUUACCUUGACAAGCUGGGUAAUAUCAUAUUAGCCACGUCAUGCUGUUGAAAUUUUUAUUGAUUUGGUGGGUUAUUUGAUUAGCUUACUACAGUGGGCGGGUUUUCGUGGAUCAGCCUAUUAGAAGGGUACGAUAAACCCCAUUAUAUUUUACCUUAGUACGAGAGGCACGGAGGGUAUCUCCUAAGGUAAGUUUAGAGUUCACUUCAUGCCGAACCACCACGUGAGGGUAAAACUCAGCCAACGUCAAGGAACGGCUACGUUUUUAAAUGUAAAAACAUGUUUAUGAAUAUAUGUUAUUUUAACAGCCUUGACGGACUCAGUUGGAUGCCCGGGUCAAGGUGUCCCCGAGUAUGAGUUUUGGCACAAGCUAAGUUUUUAAGAGAAUCAUAAGCCUUGUUGAUUAUUUUGAUGAAAUGAGUUUUAAAUGUUAUGAAUCAUAUUAUGAUGGGAUGAUUUAACUGUCUCCAUUUACUCGGCUUUAGAUGUUAUAGAUGAACUUUGCUUACUCACUGGGUUUAUAAAAACUCAUCCUCUUCUUUUUACCUAUUUUAAGCUCAAGACAGUCUGUAGACAAUCAAUUUUGUUGAGGGUUGCUUUUGGAUUGUAUCCUUAGAAAUCGAAGGUCUACAGUUUUGUAUAUUUUCGGUUAUAUUGGGCCCCACAUGUCAUUGUAGAAUAUUUUUGUAUACCUAGUUUAGUGUGCUAUUAUAUAUAUGAAUUUAUUUUACUCUUACACUACAAAUAUUGUUUAUGCAGGAUUCUAUAAAUAUUGUUUUGUAAGAAAAUGGAAUAUUUUAUUUAAUAUUUUUAUUUAGUUUGAUUAGUCAUAAUUUCAUUUUAAAUGGAUGAUUUAGAUUACUAAAAUUAUUUUAAAAUAAGAAAUGUAUAUUUUUUAAUCGUAUGCUGUAUUUUCACCAGGUUUCAAAAUUUUUUUUAAAAAAUGACCAAAAUACCCUUGUGUGGCAGAAAUUACUUUUUAUUUGUUUUUGAUUUAAAAAUAGUUUAUAUUCCCUUAAAACAUGAUAUUUAGUAACUGUUGCUCACAAGGGAGACGUAAAAUUGAUGCAAGAGCCUUGCAAGGUUUCGGUUGACAUUUCGGGUAAUGAAUGUCUAUCGAGAUAUCGCGACGGUUGUCACGAGCUCGAAGGGAGUACCGGGUCGUGACACAAUACAUUGUCUAAACAUAUCAUAUAUGUUUUGCCUAUCCAUUGCCUCUAUUUUCCAUAAUAAUCAAGUUUUUAAGCAUCCAAAUUUUAUGAAACUAGUUGAGUAAGACCCAUCAAUAGCUUAAACAUACUCGUGUAAAAGUGUGACCUUGAGUGUGCUCAACAAGUCUCCGAUUAAAAGAGUAGCCAGGUUAUCUUGCUAUAUGGUGAAAGGCAACUUAAUCAUACGUGGCAUGUGACUCAAUAUUUACCGAGGGAUUUUCUUAUUUUUAACUUAGUUAAGGUCUCAUCUUUGCAUGCAUAGCAUUUAUUAAUUGCAUAAAUAAAUCUAUCUCAUGCAUACUACUUUGGAUGAUUAUGGACUUUAUCUAUACUAAUUUCCUUGAGCCAUCGAAGGAAAUUAGCUUGGUCAAACCUAGGGGAUAACAUACAAUAUAUUGUAAUCUUCCUCCUUGUAACUUCAUGGCGCCUUUAGGUCUUCAUCUUCGAAUUGUAAAAUAACUCCUAAACUAAUCCUAAUUCUACACUUAUAUGUAACUAAUUACAUUUUAGUAAAGAAACCUCGUGGUACAUCCGAGGGGAGUUAGGUGAGAAAAGAAUUUUACAAUCCCUGAAAAUCAAGAGAAAGGCAGUGUGCGCAGACCCUAUUUAAUAAAUAAAUACCAUGAUACAAUUUAACCAUACAUCCAUAAUCAUAUUGGGCCUAGUCCAUAAUCAUCCAUAUUCAUCCAUCCACAUGAACAUAAAAUUAAAACUAUGUCUUAUUCUAACUGUUAAUCAUAUGAGGCAUUCGAAAUUAGUGUAUAACUAAUUUCGAGUUCAUUUUUUAAUUCCAUGUAUGGAAACAGUUUUCCAUAUAUGGAAAGUCUUUACUAAUUAGUAUUAGUAAUAUUAUCUAUUCCUAAUCUCAUUAGGAUUAGAAUUAAAAUAUUAUUACAAAUUAAAACAUUUUUAAUUUGUAAUCUUUAAACGCUUUAAGUAACUUUUACUACGCCUUUUAAAUUAAAGAUUAUGUGUCUUCAAUUAUCUAAUCUCAUUAGAUAAUUUAAAUAUAAUAUUUAAGACAACAUUAUCUUUAAUUAUAUUUAAGUGUCCUAUUCNNNNNNNNNNNNNNNNNNNNNNNNNNNNNNNNNNNNNNNNNNNNNNNNNNNNNNNNNNNNNNNNNNNNNNNNNNNNNNNNNNNNNNNNNNNNNNNNNNNNNNNNNNNNNNNNNNNNNNNNNNNNNNNNNNNNNNNNNNNNNNNNNNNNNNNNNNNNNNNNNNNNNNNNNNNNNNNNNNNNNNNNNNNNNNNNNNNNNNNNNNNNNNNNNNNNNNNNNNNNNNNNNNNNNNNNNNNNNNNNNNNNNNNNNNNNNNNNNNNNNNNNNNNNNNNNNNNNNNNNNNNNNNNNNNNNNNNNNNNNNNNNNNNNNNNNNNNNNNNNNNNNNNNNNNNNNNNNNNNNNNNNNNNNNNNNNNNNNNNNNNNNNNNNNNNNNNNNNNNNNNNNNNNNNNNNNNNNNNNNNNNNNNNNNNNNNNNNNNNNNNNNNNNNNNNNNNNNNNNNNNNNNNNNNNNNNNNNNNNNNNNNNNNNNNNNNNNNNNNNNNNNNNNNNNNNNNNNNNNNNNNNNNNNNNNNNNNNNNNNNNNNNNNNNNNNNNNNNNNNNNNNNNNNNNNNNNNNNNNNNNNNNNNNNNNNNNNNNNNNNNNNNNNNNNNNNNNNNNNNNNNNNNNNNNNNNNNNNNNNNNNNNNNNNNNNNNNNNNNNNNNNNNNNNNNNNNNNNNNNNNNNNNNNNNNNNNNNNNNNNNNNNNNNNNNNNNNNNNNNNNNNNNNNNNNNNNNNNNNNNNNNNNNNNNNNNNNNNNNNNNNNNNNNNNNNNNNNNNNNNNNNNNNNNNNNNNNNNNNNNNNNNNNNNNNNNNNNNNNNNNNNNNNNNNNNNNNNNNNNNNNNNNNNNNNNNNNNNNNNNNNNNNNNNNNNNNNNNNNNNNNNNNNNNNNNNNNNNNNNNNNNNNNNNNNNNNNNNNNNNNNNNNNNNNNNNNNNNNNNNNNNNNNNNNNNNNNNNNNNNNNNNNNNNNNNNNNNNNNNNNNNNNNNNNNNNNNNNNNNNNNNNNNNNNNNNNNNNNNNNNNNNNNNNNNNNNNNNNNNNNNNNNNNNNNNNNNNNNNNNNNNNNNNNNNNNNNNNNNNNNNNNNNNNNNNNNNNNNNNNNNNNNNNNNNNNNNNNNNNNNNNNNNNNNNNNNNNNNNNNNNNNNNNNNNNNNNNNNNNNNNNNNNNNNNNNNNNNNNNNNNNNNNNNNNNNNNNNNNNNNNNNNNNNNNNNNNNNNNNNNNNNNNNNNNNNNNNNNNNNNNNNNNNNNNNNNNNNNNNNNNNNNNNNNNNNNNNNNNNNNNNNNNNNNNNNNNNNNNNNNNNNNNNNNNNNNNNNNNNNNNNNNNNNNNNNNNNNNNNNNNNNNNNNNNNNNNNNNNNNNNNNNNNNNNNNNNNNNNNNNNNNNNNNNNNNNNNNNNNNNNNNNNNNNNNNNNNNNNNNNNNNNNNNNNNNNNNNNNNNNNNNNNNNNNNNNNNNNNNNNNNNNNNNNNNNNNNNNNNNNNNNNNNNNNNNNNNNNNNNNNNNNNNNNNNNNNNNNNNNNNNNNNNNNNNNNNNNNNNNNNNNNNNNNNNNNNNNNNNNNNNNNNNNNNNNNNNNNNNNNNNNNNNNNNNNNNNNNNNNNNNNNNNNNNNNNNNNNNNNNNNNNNNNNNNNNNNNNNNNNNNNNNNNNNNNNNNNNNNNNNNNNNNNNNNNNNNNNNNNNNNUAGUUAAAACCUAGAAUUUGAUUUAAGUCUAACUUAAAUCAUCACACUCUCAAUUUAAUCCAAAUUGCAACCUUUGUGUGUGACCCAUUAGGUUCCUAACAUGUUGGCAAUGGAAUUGAAUUAUAAUAUUAUUAAUUAAUUAAUUUAAAUGAAUCAUAUUCAAUUUUAAAUUAACUAAUUCAAUUCCAUAGACCAUGAUUGGCAUCUAGCAAUGCAUCAUGGCCACCCAAUUGUUAGGAGAGUCAAAGGAUUCUUUGACAACCUUUCAGUAUACAGUUUUUCAGUAUAAUUCAUUCUUUCAUUAUAUAUCCCGAAGAUGAUAAGAGCUUGGUGCAGUGUCUACUCUUAUUGAUCUCCAUAUUUGUUCUUGCAGUUAGAUCAUUAGCUUUAUGGAGACUUAUGAAACUCAUUUCAUAAUCUCCUAAUCACCUUGGCCAAGGAUUUUUUUUUUAUGCUGGAAAUUCACGUAGGGCCCAGCUACCUUGUUAAAUUUUAUUAAUUACGAAAUAAAAAGUACAAAGGAUGGGGACCUAAACCGUACCUCCAAAUUACAUGAUCAUAAGAAAGUUUCGAAGAAGCACCUAGAGUAAGGAACACCAUUUUACGUGCAUAACUUUUGAUGCUAUAGUAAAACAGAUAUUCCUUACUAUUACAUUGAGACAAUAAACUAAAAUAAAAUUUAAAACAGGAAAUGAAAAUAAGAAAAGCACCUAGAGUGGAGUGUUUCAUUUUAUGACCAUAUUUUUUACUAUCGUCAUAAAAUUAAAACACUUCCAUAUUACAAAAAUCUAUGUGUAUAACAAAAAAAGAAAAAUAAAUUAGGAGUACUACUCCUUUACAUUCAUUUGAAGCGAACAUAAGGUAAACUAACUUUAUCUAAUCUAAGAAUACCUUUAAGCUGACCUUCUACUUGUGAAAAUACCUACAAGUUCUGGUGCGUAUGCCUUUGAUUUGAGAGAUGGUUUGCUGCCUGGUUUCCUUCUCUAUAGAUGUGUGAAAUCCGAAAAGAGAUACCAUUCAAGGAUCUACGAAUGGAAGCAAUUAGAUACUGAGUCUUAGAGGAUCCUUGAUGACCCUCAUUUAUCAUGUGUACCACUACUUUUGCAUCGAUUUCUAUCUAAAGUCUAGUAACAUUGUACUCAAUACACAAAAGUAAGCCCUUGUGUAGUGCCAUUAACUUUGCCUGUAAUGAAUCACACGGUCCAAAAUUUUUAGAAAAUCCAAAAAUCAUGGUACCUGUAUGAUCUCGAAGAAGUCCUCCUUCAGUAGCAUUCUGAAAAUUAUGCUUGGAACUCCCAUCAACAUUCAACUUAAACUCACCUGUUGAUGGUUUAUUCCAAGAGAAUAUUUUUGGUGGAUGUGGGGCUGCUUGCUAAAAUAUUAGACCCUAUGCCUGAGCAAUCUAUAGAUCUCCCUUCCAUUACCACCGGUGGAAUUACCUCCCAUGAAAUAAUUGGUGGAUAAGUUUGAGUACUCUCCACACCACUCUGUUAGGAUACAUACCAAGGUUCCUAUGUUUUGCAUCAUUCCUUUCAACCCAUAAGAACCAAAAAAUAAAUAAAGGGAUUAACAUGCGUAUGUGUCCUUUUUUCGUAUAAUCACUAGAGAACCACCAUGCCCAUAUAAUCUGAUAAACAUUCUGGGGAUGAGUUAUGUUGAUUUGGAAAAAUUUUGUAAAAUAAUUCCAAACUUGUGUAGCAAUUGGGCAUUCCCACAUGACAUGCAAGAGAGACUCUUCUGAAUUGUAAUGUUGGCAUUUAGAAACUAACUGGAAUCCUUUGGUUUUCAAUCGCAUGUCAAUUGGGAUCCAAUCCUGUAACAACCUCCAAAGGAAAAAAGAGAUAGUUAAAGGAAUCCUUUUAUGCCAAAUUAAAUUGAACACUAGAUUUAUCGACUAGCAUUGUCGAAUCAUCUCCCAAGUGGACUUAGUAGUGAAUUGCCCAUCCUAGGUUGGCACCCAAUACACCCUAUCAUCACUAGAAGGAUCUAUCGAAAUUUUUAGAAUUUUUGUCACAGCAUCCUCCGGCAACACAUUAUCAACUUAUCCACAUUCCAUUUUCCAUCAUCAUAGAAAUAGGAGACUCUCAUCAUCGAUGAAACAAAUGAUGGGAAACGAUUAACCAAGGGAGUUUCACCCAUCCAACAAUCAUGCCAGAAGAAUAAUUCACCUUUACCAAUCCGCCAUCUAGUGUAUUGCUCUAUGGUUGGGCAACUAGCAAGCAUCUGUUUUCAUGUUUGUGAAUCAUGAAGUUUCGGCUGAAUGUACCUCAAAAUUUUGCCAGUACAAUAUUUAGUCCACAUAAAUCGCGUCAAAUGUUGUCACAAGACAUAAACCUCCACCAAAGCUUCAUGCUAAACGCCUCAAACACAUCACCUAGGCUGCGGAUGUCCAAUCCUCCUUCACUGAUGGAAGAGUGGUCUUUUGCCACUAACCCCAAUGAAUGUGUCUAGUGCCUGCUGAACCUCCCCAUAAGAAAUUAUUGAACAUUCUUUCAAUUUUCUCAAUCACACAGAUAUGAGGCUUAAGGACCUGGAGCAAAUAGAUAGGAAAAGAAGACAAAACAUUUCAUAAUAAUGUUUUUCGCCCACCCGGAGAUAAAAUUUUAUGGUCCUAUCCUUCUAUAUGCCCUUGAAUCUUUUCCACCAACUCAUUAAAUAACAUUACCUUUUUCAGACCUUUAUAAAGUGGCACCCUUAAAUACGUGAUAGGUAGGCACUUGUGGAUGAAACCAAUAGCUUGAGAGAUGAUUUGUAUGCUCGAAUUUGCCACAUUUUGAUGAGUGAUAAAGUAGCUUUUAGAGUGGUUUAUUCGCUGUCUAGAAAUCUCCUCAUAAUCCUGCAAGAACUUUAGAAUCUUCUGUAGGGAAGAUUUGGCACCAUUAGUGAAUAUAAGAACAUCAUCUGCAAAAGCCAAGUGGUUGACUGUCAUGGAGCAAUCAGAAACAUAGUGCAGAGAUGGAUAUCGAGCAAACAAAGCAUUUAACCCUCGGGAUAAAUAUUCGGUAGCCAGAAUGAACAAAAAAGGAGAAAUGGAGUUGCCUUGUCUGAGUCUCCUUUCUAACUUGAAGUACCCCACAUCACCACCAUUUAUCAGCAAAGAAAACUAGCAAUUAGAGAUGCAACAGCGAAUCAUGUAAAUCCACUGAGAAUUAAAUCCGAAUUGCUCUAGCAUUCUAUAAAGAAAAUCCCAUUCAAAUCGAUCAUAUACCUUCAUCAUGUCCAACUUGAGAGCAAUAUUUCCACCCCUUGACUUCCGAUCAAUCUUCCCAAUUAGUUCUUGUGCAAGUAGGAUGUUGUCGUUAAUCAAUCUCCCCCCCACGAAGCCGCUCUGAUUAUCUGUAAUAAUGGAAGGAAGCAUCUUUGCAAGGCAAUUAGCUAAAAUCUUAGUAAUGAUUUUAUUUAAAACAUUACAAAGGCUUAUCGAUCUAAAAUUGCUCCAUGUCGAGGCAAUAUGAUUCUUGGGCAGCAGCAUAAUUGUUGUGGAUGUGAUUCCCUUUGAGAGGUCAGCGCCAUGAAAAAAAUCAACUACUGCGUCUAGGAGGUCAUUAACAAUUAUAUCCCAACAUUGUUGAUAAAAAUAUGAGGAGAAUCCAUCAAGGCCAGCAACGCUGUCCUUGUCAAUAUUAAAAACUGCCUCUUUCAACUCCUCCCUGGAUGGCUCUGCACAUAAACUCAGAUUAUCAUUAUCAGAAAUAAUAGCAGGAAUCAACGAGGCAUCAAACCUGGCCAUAUUACAUGGUUCUUUCUUCACGAGGGAGGAAAAAAACUCCACUACAGAGGACUUUAUUGCGUCAAGUUCUUCAAUCCAACUGCCAUCCGAAUUUUGAAUCUUGAAUAUAUGGCUUUUAAUUCAUUUCUUCUUGACUCGCAUGUGGAAGAACUUGGUGUUGUGCUCACCCUCCACAAGCCAUUUAAUACCAGAUUUCUACUUCCAGAAUAAUUCUUCCACACUAAGAUAAUGAUUAAGUUGUGCAUACGUUUUGUUCAUUGCUGCACGAUUCUCAAUUGACCGUUCCUGUUGAAAAAUUAAUUCACAAUCUGCAGCUCUUUGUUCCGCCACUUUCAAGUUGUGAAAAAUGUCUCUAAAGAUCUCCUUAUUCCAUCGUUUUAAAGCCUAUUUCAAUUGGUGUUUCUUUGCCUAAAAAGCUUGUAUACCUGAUCCAGCAAUGGGAAGAUUCCAGUUUUGUGCCACAAAAUUUUUAAACCCAUGAUGAAGAACCCAAGCAUGCAAGAACCGAAAGGAUGAGGGAAUUCUAUCCUUAUUCCUGGAAUAGGAAAUUAGUAAAGGACAAUGAUCUGAUUCGUCCUUAUUUAGGGGCUGUAUACGUGUUGACGAAAAAAACUCUGCCCAAUGAUGAUUAUACACCAUUCUGUCCAACCGUUGGAACAUCCGGUUAUUGGUCCAAGUGAAUGGAUUUCCUUCAUAGCCACUAUCCAUUAAACCGCAAUCAAGUAGAGCAGUAGCAAAGUCUUCCAUAGAACCUCUAUGCAAAACUGCACCAUUCUACCACUCUCCAUUGUGUAAAAUGACAUUAAAGUUGCCCCCAACUAUCCAUGGUGUCUGAAUAUCCACAGCCAACUUCUUCAAGCAAUCCCAUAACCCCAGUCGCUCAGUUCUGGUACAUUUGGCAUAGAUAAAGGAUGCCAGUAAUGGUAAUUUCAGCCACUGUAAGGAGAGUUUGACGUGCAAACAUUGCACAUGAUCUAAAAGCACUACAUAACUCAAGUCAAAAAAAUGAAAAAGCCAGAUUUUAUGUGAGCAAUUUGUAAACACUUUCUUAAAACCAAACUUCCUUAUGAUAAACUCAACUUUAGAAGCAUCAACCAUUGGCUCUAAUAUAACUAAAAUUAUUAUUUUAUGCACUAACCGCAGUUUCUUGAUCCUUCUAUGAAUUUCUGCACUUGAAAUACCCCUUACAUUUCACACAAAUGCACUAAUCAUGAUCGAGUUCUAGUUGCAUAACUUACCGAGAUGGAAUUGUCAUAAGAGAUUCCAUCAUUCUUUCCCACUUCCACUACUUCCUCUAAGGCCAGAUUGGUUAUUUUUCCAAUUGAAAUUGCAGUAUUUGAGUUCCUUCUACGUCGCGCCAAUGGAUGGACUUCCAUCUCCGAAUAAGUUCCUGAUAAUGAAGGUAUAGCACUUAUUUUUUUAUUAUACAUAUACUUGCCGAAGGCGGACUCUAAAUUAGGAGGAUUAUCAUCAUUUCCUGCCAUCCUUUCACCUGAACUAGAUCUUUUAGAAGAAAUCCAAAUAUUUAUAGCUUGGGUCAGUGUCUGACUUGCACUUUCUCCCAUUAUUGGAUUGUGCUCUUCACUUCCUUCUAAUGUGUCAAUUGACAUGUUCUGACCUCCCAACUUUAUCUCUACCCUCAGCUGUCCUUUCAAUUACGGUAAGGCCCUUUUUUGCUCCAAUGGGUCCAUAUUAGCAUUUUUUAAAAUCUGGUUUGCAUUUGCUUGUCCCGCGCCCUGCUACGCCAUCUUGUCCUGGUCUGUAAAAAUAAUCAAUUCUUGCUCCCUCUCGCCCGUGACUUUAUUUUCAUGCACGUGAAGGGGGGGACAUGGGGAGGGCCCUCCUACCGUCUGUCCCUCACUGUAAAAGGGUGCUGUCCAUGAUCCUUCAGUCCCGACAAGUAUUAUCCUAGUGGCCAGGGGGUCUCGGUCAAGGUCUUUCUCUAGUUUACUAUAAGCAGACCUCUCUACCUCCCCAUUUCGAGAAUUUUCUUUGGACAAAAAAUUGAUAUCUUUCUUUGCAGUAUCCCUUUUGUCCCCCUUUUCGAUCAAAUCCUGCUACAGGUGAUUGACUUUACGUACAGUACUGCCCAUUUUUAGAGCCUCCACUAUUGCACUCUGGUCCUGCGGGCCAUACUUGUUGUUGGAAAAGCUUACCGCAAGCCUACCACUUGCUGCUGUUUUAUCGGGCUGCCAAGAGUCUUUUUUGUUUUCCCCAUCUUCAGUUGCUUUGUCUGACAUCUCUAUUGUUGGUUUUGACAUACCUUCACUGCCUAUUGCUGCCAUGCCGAGCUGAGCACUACCAGUAGCUGCAACCGGGCUCUCUACAAGCCGAGCUAUCUCAUCCAACUCACCAUGCAUGUUUUGGAGGUCCAUCUCGCCUCCACUUUUUGUUAGCUGCUAUACAUCCCCAUGCAGAACGAAUACGUCCAGCUGUUCCUCUCCUGCAUGCUCUGAUCGUUCCCUUCCUCUCACUUUGUUUUCCAUUUGCCUAGGCUUUCCAUACUCGUGAAAUAAGGUCUGGACGUCUCUCUCUACGAUCUGCAGCUUUGCAAAAUUUUCUGCUGCUUUCUCUACAUCAGCUAAACUGUCGGUGCCGUGUUGUCUCGUCACACCUUCCUCCACUCGUCUGUUGCUUCUCGGGGCCUGAUCAAGUCUCCGCCUUCAGCCUGCAAUAAAUGCUUGGCAGCCGCAUAGUCGGGCGUAUCAUGCUCGAUAGCCACUGCAGGUUUUUAGGCGAGCAUGACACUAUUCACUUGCCCUGUUCGCCCCUAUUCGACGUGCAUUCUCGGUUCGGCAACCUCACCCUUUUCCAAUGUACCAAAACGGUUCGCCAGCGGCACCGUUGCCUUGCCCCGAACCUGUGCCUCAACCUCUUGACCUGUAGUUUCUUUUUCCUCGCUCUUCCGUGAUUUUCCAACCAUUUGCCAUUGCGUAUUCUGUUUCAGCUAACCCGGCAGCAUCGAUUCUUUUUCUUUUCCUUUUUCUUGUUUUUGCUUCAGUUCUGCCUCCUUUUUCAGCAUUUCUCUUUUUUCUUCUCUCAAUGUUUUGCUUACCUACACCUUCCCUGGAGUCGUUAGCCUAUUACCCAACACCAAACACGUUGAACUCGCAUGACCCACAUGACAACAAUGCUCACAAUACGCCAGCAUCUUAGCAAAUUCAACCUGCUGUAUGUAACCUCCAGUAACAGCAAUGUACAACGGCUUUCCUAUGAUUUUAGCUAUUAACAGCAAUGUUGAUUUCUCAUAAAGGUGGGCUUUUAGGUUAGGGAAAGAGAUUCACACAGGGACAAUAGGUGAUUCUUUUUCUGCUUCAAAGUCUGGGCUCCAUUUAAAAACCCUCAUUUUCUGAUUGACAAUGAACCAUUGCUGCUUGACCCAUAUCCUAUUGAAGCCUUGCUUGUUUGAUAAAUGGAUCAGAAUGUGUUUGUAGUCCAACCACCGGAUAAUGUAAGCUCUAGUGAGGCCGAUUCCUUUGAAUGUUUGCCGGAUGUCUUAGAGUUUUGGCAUGCCAACUAAAUUUUCCAAUGAGUGAAUGCUUGAAUGGUUGGGCAAGGGACUGGAUUUCGUUCUCAAAAAACGCCGCUGCUGGUCGGUCCUUGAAGAGGAUGGGAUCUCUAGAGAAGGGGAUCAAAACUGGCUUGUCUCCAGGCACUAUUAAGAGGAAAUAUUUUUUUUGGGUUCGGGAGGACAGUGGUGGCUGGGUUUUGUCUUCUGCAACUUGUUGGAAUUCAUGGGGGGCUUGUGGGUUUGUGCCAGGGGGGGCUGUCGGCAGUGGCUGGAGAGUUGUCGGUUGUGGCUGGAGGGGUUUCGGCGGUCGGCCAAAGGGUGGACCAUGGGUGGUGGGGAGCCUUGGGGACUCAUGUUGGUUGAGAGCGUUUUGCAUUUUUAUAUAGGGCAUUAUGUGAUUGAUCAAGGAUUUGAUUAAGCUAAUGUCAAUCAAGAACUAAUGAGAUAUUUUCCCUCGAAUCACUUGGAGUGAUGAUUCCUAUCUUGAUCACUCAUUUGUUUUUAUAUUCUUCAUACUAUAUUGAAAAACAUCCUGUUUUGGCAUCCUUGAUUAGGCACCUAAAGGAUGAAAUCAAAGUAUAGUACUUCACAUACAAGAUAACUUGGUGUCUCAAAUCUAGGGAGUAAUUACACAAUUAACACAUGAGAUAAAAUAUCCCAUACUUUGAUAUGGUGAUAAAUAAAGUUGGUCGGAUGAGAAUUGAGGCAUAAUAAGGAACUUUGGGAAUCAAAGAGACAAGAUAAAAUUUUUAAAAUAAAAUAAUAAUUUAUUAAUAAAAUAAUAUUAAAAUAUUAAUAUUUAGUCGGAUGUCGAAAUCAGUCAUGAAGAAGGAUCAUAUGGUUGAUCCAAGUAGGGGAGAAGAUGUCAAGCCUAACUCUAUAAAAUACUUGUCAUGACAUACAUAUGAUGGAUAGCAUGUUUACAUGCUAGGAGAGUCUCAAAAAAUUUACAAAAGUCGGUAUUGUACCUAGAAGUACAACAAAGUUCAUUUAAGCCUCAAACUAGAUCAAAUAGAGAAUUUAAGAUGAAAUUAAGAAUAUUGAAGCCCCAGAAUGGUUUAAUAUGGUGAUUUGAAGUUCGAGAAUUAAUUUGGAGUUAAACCAAAAAUUUCAUUAUCUAGGGGUAAAAUGAUAAUUUUACCACUUGAGGACAAAAUGAAAAUUUUUUAAAAAGAUUUUGAUCAUAUUUGACUUAUUGGAGUAUGAUUUGAGGUUGAGAAGUGAAAAAUGGUGAUCCUGAUAUUUUUUGGAGUAUAGGGGUAAAAUGGUAAUUUUGUCAUCAUAGGGGCAAAAUUGUAAUUUUCCAUCACCCGAACACUUGUCUAGCACAUGGAUUCUACCCAAUUUUAUCAUGGAUAGUUGAAGGAAUUUAUAUGGUGGAGAGAAAAAGCUCAAUAGUUAAGAAAUAAAAAUGGACCAAUGAAAUGGUGAGACAUGGCAUAUUUAUAACCAUUAAAUAUUUGGCUUAUAAAUUAACACAAAUCAGCCCAUUUUCUCUUCAUAUGGCCGGCCAAAGAAGAACAAAGGAGGAAAGAAAAAAACCAAGAACCCUAGGUGAGAAAAUUGAAGAAAAAGUGUGGGAUUUCAAGGGAUUAAGCUAAUAAAGGUAAAAUUUAUUGAUUUUGACUUGUGAUUUACACUACCCAUGCUUUCUUUUUCAUUUUUCAUGAUUAGAUUUCAUGUUUUCAUGGUGAAUUCAUGGCUGGUCAAAAUGGGUAUGGAGAGAGAAAGAUGUUGGAUUGAUUUGAUUUUAAGUUAUGUUAGUGUUUUUAGUUAGUUUAGCAUAUUUAGAAACAAAACAAUAAGAAAAGAAUUCAUUUUCCCCCAUCACCAUCAUUGGCCGAAUUUUCUAGGGAAGAUAUUGUGGUUGAAAUUGAUGAUAUUUCAUGAUAUUUGGGUGAUAUUUGAUGUUUGGUGAGGCUAGAAAUUAAAUGGGAAAUUUUGGUGUGAAAAUCUGAAUUUUUACCUAAUGUAUAGACAUGUGUGAUUAUUGACCCGAGACUGAUAAAUUGAAUCUCAUUCAUAGUCAUUGAGGUAAUUUAGGUAUAAUUGGAGUGUAAAAAGUGAGAAAAAUUGAUUUAGAGUUAAAUUGGAGAUUUUAGCCGAUUAGGCCGAGUAUAUUGUGACUUUGGUCGAAUAUCACAUUUAAGUGAUUAAUCAGACAUUUUGCAUCCCAUCGCAUGCAUUCAUUUAGAUUUAGAGAGUCUGAAAUAGUUUACGAUAAAUUGACAUAAUUUAUUGAAAUUCGUGUCACGUAUGAUGUAUAGGUGGUGAGCUCUCUAACAAGGGUAAAGAGAUUGUGCCCGAAGACUGAGAAUAGGAGUAUAUCAAACUCCUAGUACUGUGAGUAACCUUACUAUCAUUUUAAUUAUCUAAAGUAUGUUGUUAUUCGGUUUUGGUGAAAUUUUAUGAAAAGGAGUUUAAAUGGUAAAUCUUUGUGUUUUACAAACAAAAUGUAUUUACAUGAAAGGAUUUUAUAAAUUGUCUUAAAAUCGAAUAAUGAUUUUGAAAAAUAGAGUAAUUGGAGACCACUUGUUAUAUUGUAAUUUAUGAUUUGAAAUCGAAUGGCUUAUGACAAUAUUUGCAUGAAUGGCUGAAUUGAUAUUUGUGUUGAAAUGUAUGAAAUAUGUAUUUAGCCUUGAAAGGUUGUGAAUUAUAAUAAUUGCCAUAUCAUGUUAUUGAAUUUUAUUGUAUGGUGGGUUUAGUUUGCUGCAGUGGGCGAAUUCUGUGGACCAGCCUAUUAGAAGGGCACAGAAUCCGGAUAUAUAUAUGUACCUCGGUCGGAGAGGCACGUAGGGUAUCUUAUGAGGUAUGGAUAGAGUUCACGUCACGCCGAACCACCUCAUGAUAAUGAACUCUGCUAACGCCAAGGAACAGUUGUGUUUUUCUCAAACUAAAAAUAUGUUUUAUGUGUAUACGAAAUUUUAACAGCCUUGCCGGGCUCUAGUGUACGCCUCUGAUCAAGGUGUCGUCGAGUACUAUUUGAUGGCAUGAGCCAAAUGUUUAUGGAAGUCAUAAGCCUUAAUGAGAAAUUAAAUGAAACACAACCGUUUGCAUGGGUUGGGAUAAAUUUUCAAAUUGUGAAAUACUUAAAAAUGAUGGAAUAUUUUAAUUGUCUCAUUUUACUCGGCUUUAGCUGAUUUAAAUGAUGUUUGGUUACUCACUGGGAUUUUAUAAUCUCACCACCCUUCUUUCCACCCAUUUCAGGCUCAGAGUAGGCUGUAGAUAGCUGAUUCCAUUGAGGGAUUCCAUUGGACUUGCUUCCUCCGAAUUGUAGGUUCACCGUUUUCCUCACUUCUAGUCAUUCGUGGGCUUGCUUGAUAUUGUAAAUUAAAUUAAUUUAAAUGCAUUGGUUUACUGUGUCACAGUAUGAAUGAAAUUAUUUUGCUUUUAUGUUACAAAAAGUAUUUACGUAAAACUCUAAAAUUACUGUUUAUAAGAAAAUAAAAUAUUUUAUUGAAUAUUUUGUUUUAUCUUCUCAUUAUAUUUAACUAAUUAUAAUUUCAUUUAAAAUAAAGGUGUUAGGUGCUUAAACUUAUUUUUGAUUGUGAAUUACGUGAUUAGUACUUGCUUACUAAAUUUUAAACUGGUUUCAAAAUUUUUCAGUAAAAAAUGACCAAAACGCCCAUGUGAGACGAAAACUUUUAUUUUAUCUGUUUUAAGUUGGAAAUAGCUCAAAAUCCUUUGGAACAUAAUAUUUGGCAACGGUUACUCACUGGGGGAAUGAGAAACUGAUAUUAAGCCUUGCGGAAUUUCGAUUCGCAUUCUGGGAGAUGAGUGCCCAUCGGGGCACCGCGGCGGUUGUCACGGGCUCGAGGGGAGUUUCGGGUCGUGACAUGAGAAGUAUUGCAUAGACACUUGAGUGAAAUACCAAAUGCACUUCUCAUGGUGGGUCAUGUUCAGUGAACUCAUUAUCCCAUGGCAAGCACCCACAUGCUAGUUCCCAAGUAUCUCUAUACUUCAAUCUAUGAAAACGAUUGCUUACUUCACAAGCAAGGAACAUAACAUGUGCCAAUCUUUGAGCAUUAUUGAUGCCCUGUCUCAAUAACAUAAUGAUCAGGAACUUUUAGGAAAAAUGCUUUAAUGCAUAAGGAUCUCAUAAUUAUAUCCUAAUACAAUUCUUUUGCAAGGCAUAUAUAGUUCCAUGGGCUUUAUCUACAUAAGUACAAAAAGUAAUUAAAUUACAAACUUAUGGAUAAAUAACUACCUCAAUGUUAAUAUGAAUAACAAAAUGUCAUACAUGAAUAUCUCAAAAUUGCAGUUCCCAUACAACCACAGAUUGGCUUGAAGGGCUUAUACUAAUAGUAACGACCUUCUUCCCGAUCGUUAUCGGUGUCCAAGACUUGCGGGAGAACCACCAAAUCUCGAACAAGCCUUCACAAUUAUCAUUUUAUCAAACCAUAACACUUCAGUCGAAAAUCUCAUAACCAUCACGAUUUCAUUAAUAGCAAAUAUUCUCUCUAUACAUAUUGUUUCAUCAUCAUAUAAAUAUAUGUUUACAUUUUACAAUAAAUGGCAAGUUCCUAAAAUCUCUUGACAGCAUAAAAACCUUUAGCAGCGAAGUGACUCGAAAUAGGGUACUAAGAGAUGCCUUUACCUACAUCAUAGUGGACCAUAAUAUGUUGAUGAAAAGCACGCUAGCUAAUCACUUCUCUACAAAAUGAGAAUAUUAGGGUGAGUCUCACAGACUCAGUGAUCAUCGUCUCAAUAAGUAAGGAGAAGAUGGUAAACAUGCCAAAGAUAGAAAAUUUGAAUAUUAAAAACAUAUGAAUAUAUAAACCAUUUAAAAUCAAAUGGAACAUUUGUGCCUUACAUAUACCAAAUAAUUGUGAUGCAAAGUAACCAUUCAGGUAAUAUAUUAAAAUCGGUGCAAUUAAAAGACUUCUACCAUCAAAAUCAUUUGAUGGCCUUUACUCAAAAUCAGACUAACAUAAGAAUGCACGCUUUCGUAAAAUCAACAAUAUCAAUGCUUAUGCACAAGCAUAUAAAUGAACUCAUACUCGAGGUAUUAAACAAAAAACCAUCGUAUAAAUAAAGGAGUUGGGAAAAACCGAUAACAUAUACCAUGAGAAAAAAUACGUAUGUGAAAACCUAAUGAGAUAUCACUCUCGAGUAGGUAAUCAUAAGUAAGCAACCCGUGGACCCGCUUCCAUGUAAUAACAAUCCGGGAGGCCCCUCUCCACUGGAUUCCCGUAGCCAUGGCAGUUUCGACGAUGUUGGCCGACAUCGGAGAAAUGAUGUGGUCUCAACCACGUAUAUCAACUGGUGGCCUAGCGAUGUAUAUCAUCCUGUGGCCUUGCUGCAUAUAUAUAUAUAUAAAUAUAUAUAUCACAGACCGUGGCCUAGCCACGUCUAAUAGCCCAUCGAUGACCUAAAGGUUCUCUAGCUAGAGCUCACUUGUGCAUAAGGCUUAUACUGUCCCGAUGUGACAUUCAGCCUACUCUCUAAUCUCCCGGUUUGUCAAAGCCAUUUAUAAGCAAGUUAGGUUCUCAAAAGCUUAUUUUAAAUCUAUUUCCAAAAUACCAAUCAUGGUGACAUGAUAAAUCCAUUUGUAAGACUUUAUAAUGUAAAGCCUAUGCAUGAGGUUUAAAUAUCAAAUCAGCAUGGUGAGCAUAAAGUUUAUUCAUGAAUGCACAUCACACAAACAAAUAAGGCACAUUUUGACAUAAACUAUGGUGAAGAGCUUGUUUCCCGAUUUCUAAAACCCUUUACAUAGAUAACUUAUAUAUAUACAAGACAUUUCUAAAAGCCUGGCAUUCACAAAGUGCCUAGCAUUCUACCAACUCAUGCUUUCCACAAUAACAGUAUAAUCGAUUGCAAAUCCAUUUAAAAAUCGCCUACCAAGGCUAACAACUCAUGCUAUCCAUAAUUGCAUUUAAAGAAAACUGGCAACGUUUAUUAAACGUAUAUCAAUAUAUAGUUUAUGGAACUUUUGAAAUAGACACCCCCUAUUCACCUUUCUUGGCGGGAUAUUACUUCGCCAAUUUAAAUUCUUUGUGUUCUUAAUCGAUCAAUAUCGCUUGCCAUCUAACUGUUAUCCUUCUUGAUUUACAUGCACGACAACUAUCCUUUACUUGGCAAUUUCCUAGCAGCAAUUAAAUCCAACAUAUUUAGCAACUUUACAAUUUAUUCUACCCUACACUUGCUGCCCACACUUAGCUUUAUGCUUUUAUAACUUAUUCUUUAUUCCCCCUUCUCAUUCAAGUACUAACCAUUAACUAAAUAGUUCAAUUCAUGCUAUAAUUAGCAUUCCUUCACAAAUAAUCCUUUGCACACACACACACACACAGACAUAUAUAUAUAUNCACACACACACACACACAUAUAUAUAUAUAUAUAUAUAUAUAUAUAUAUAUAUAUAUAGGCAGUAACUUUACCAAAGAAUUCUCAAGUCCUUACAUGCAUAAUUUUCAUUCCUUUACUUCUUUCAAAACAUUACAUUCACACAACAUCAAAACUCAUAACUAGUAUAAGCAAUCUUCUUAACCCAUAAUCAUAUAAAAUGAACAAUCAAGGAAUAGGCCACAAUUCAUCUUACCUUUCUCAAUAAUUUAACUUGAGCUAAAACCAAGAAAUCUCAAGCUCUUUCGUAGCGUAGUCUUACAUUCCUUGCGAAUCACCAACAUGCAUGGGUUUCUUGGCACACACACGGUGUUCUUUUUGCUACUACAAACAUUCUCACACAAUCACAAUUCAAUUCCUUAAGAAAGUCAUAGAUCAAACUCAACUUUACUCACCUAAACUUUCCUUGAACCCGUGAAUCAUUCACACUUUCUUCCUUGCGGUUUCUAGGAGCAAUGAAGCUUGCUGAUAGGAAAAUGGCAACAAAUAGGCUCACGGGUACUAAGGGAAAUGGAGUAGCCAAGUACUUUUCUCUAAACUCUUUCUCUCCUCUUGUGUGGAAGCCUCACAAAGCUAUUUCUCUUCAUUUCUCUUCCAAAUGGGGCAGAUCUCUCAAGGCAAACACACUUUGUUUGCUUUCUUUUUUAUAUGGGCAGACAUAACAAGAAAUAAGCUUAAAAUGGCCUUGUAAAAGUUCCUAUUUCCUUUCCAUUUCUUUUUUGGGCAAAUUGUCCAAGGCUUGGUAGCUUUUGGCAUUUUUCUUUUUCUUUUACGUGGGUAGAUAUCACAAGGCAAAAAGCCUUGAAAUCUUGCUUUUGCACUUGUAUGGGCGAAUUCUCCCAAGUUCCUCUAUCAACUCAAAUUUCUUUAUUUUAUUUUCUUUCCGUCAAAUGUUAUGAUUAUACCCUUUUCUUUCUAAGUCACAUUACCAACCUUACUAUGUUUACCAUGGGCUAUCUUUGCCAAACCAUGGUUUUUUUUAAUUAAAUACUCUUUGUUCUUUUUCUCUUUGUCAUCUUUCACAUGGUGGGGGUCCUACAUGUCCCUCACUAGGCUUUAUCCUUUCUACAUGCAAUCAUUUGCAUGUAAUAGUAACUUCACAUGCAAAUUCCAUCAAGGUAAGCAAUCUCACUUGCAUUUCACUUUACUUGCAUCCUACUUGAAUUUCAUCUUGCCUUCCAUAAUACAAAUAUAUACAUCAAAUAUUCUCUUAACUUUUCAUUAUUUACAAUUAGGUCCUUCCAUCUUUCCUUUAUUUUCAAUUCUCUUCUAUUUUUCUUCCAUUACACUUGUUCAAAUAAAAUGUCAAAUUCAUACUUCACCAAGGUGUGACCAUAAUAUUUAAAUAUAUACUAAUUCUUUCUCACUUUCAUUUAAUGAAAGCACGUGGGCCCCACUAAAGCUUCAUUUCUUUGAAAUAUUUCUUACUUUCACUGCCCCAUUUAGACAAAUUGUACAAAUCAUAUGUUCUUUGUGUAAUAAAACCAAUUUGACAUAUAUAUUAUUUUAAUAUUAUUUCAUCCAAAAAUUAAUAUUUUAUUCUAAAAUUUUCCUCUAGCCUUCUAAGGCUCCAAAACAUCUUACUUUGCCCUGGUUUAGCUCUAUAACACCUUUUUAACUCCACCACUUUGACCUCAAUAAGAUAUUAUUAUUUUAUCUCAUACAUAAUAUUUUACUCUAAAAUAUUCCUUUCACCCUCCAACACUUUUAAACACUUUCAUUGGCCUUAAUUGACCUUCAUCUUAUCCUUAAGGUUGUUGGCUCCAUUAGUUUUUGAUGAUAAUAAAACAUUCCCAUUCAUUUGUGUCUAAUAUUUCUACUUAAGUGUGCAGGACAAAAAGUCAUAUGGAAAUAAUAAAUCAACCUUUCAAAUGUGUAUAUCAAAAAUCAUGAAAACGAAGAAAAACGAUUGAUCAACAAAAAUGAAGGUCUUUAGUUAAAUAAUGAAGAAUGUUGGUUGACUAAAAUUUAAAUUGAAGAAAUGGCGGGCUGAAGAGUAUUGAGAAACAGAACCGACUUAGUCGACCAAGAUGUGAGUUAGUCGACUAAAUGCUUUCUGCCAAAGUCUGGACUUCAAGACAGAACCAACUUAGUCGACCAAGAAAUGAGUUAGUCGACUAAAUGCUCUCUACCAGAAUCUGCGACCAGAAGAUAGAACCAACUUAGUCGACCAAGAAGAAAGUUAGUCGACUAAGAGCUUUCUGUCUGUAAUUUGAACUAGAGCACUAAAAGACAGAUUAACGGCUAGAACCAACUCUCAACUAUUUCCAACGGCCAUAAACUUCCAAACUACCAUCAGAUUUGUUUCUCCAUGUAUAAAAGUAUCUUCCAACAGUUAGAAAUCAGUUCUUUAGAAGUUUUGGAAGAUAUUUGAGUCAUAUAGAGCUGAAAAACCAGAAAAUCUCCUAUGCACCUUUUUGCACUUAAACGUCAAUCUUUUGUAUUUGUAUUAUGCACUCAACCUUGUACCAUUUAGAUCAACCUUGUGAUGAUAGGUAUUUUCUUUUACUUCUCUUCUUGUAUUCUUAAAGUGAGGGAGUCACUCCAAGUGGUUGUUUCAAGCUAGGUUUGCUUGAAUGUGUUAAGGUUCUAACUUAGCCUCUAAAAGUUAGGUUUUGGGUUUUGGUUGAGCCCAUGAAAAACCAUUGUGAAAGGUUGUGGUUGAGCCUUUAAAAAACCACUUUGGGUUUUGGUUGAUCCCGGUAAAAACCAUUGUGAAAGGUUUUGACUAAGCCUGGUAAAAGCCAUUGUAAAGCUUGGUGAAAGCUUGUGAAUUUCACCUUUUAUAGUGGAUUGAUUUGGAAAAUCCUUAGUUGAAUAAUCAAGGCAGUGGAUGUAGGUCUUGGACCGAACCAUUCUAAAUUCUUGUGCAUUAUCUACUCUAUUUUUAUUUUCAUUGCUUUUCAAAUUAGUUCUCAUCUUGUCAAGAGCGAAAAGGUGAUAUUCACCCCCCUUCUAGCACAUUUAUUUGAGACCAACAAAGGUCAUAUUAGGCACCAUACCAAAGUACGAGGUGUUACAAGGAACACUUGUAAGAUUAGUCUACCACUUUCUUUCAUAACAGAGUUCAGAAUAAGGGUUAGCAUAGAAGUCUCUUGCAUGCAAGGAGAUGCUAUUGCUGGAUGCCAUGGUUUUGGGGUGCCAUGAUCCUUCUCCCUAGAACAAUUGAAGGCAUUGCCUUCCUUCAACUUUUAGAGGUGGGGGCAACAUCAAUCAUCAUUCAGUGAGCUAUUUAUUACCCGCAAUGGCGCUUUACUUGCAUGCAAGGCGGCACGCCAGGUGGAGCUAUUGCUAAGGGUGAAAGAGAUGCAUUUCUGUACUGGUAGUACUAGACAAGCUCUUAGGGAAUAAUCUCUUUCUUAUUUUUGCCUUUCUUUCCCAUGAUGACUAGGAACAGACAAAUAAAAAAUUUCACUUUGAAUUUCAGACCUCAACAUCCUGCUGCUCAUGGUGUUUCAAGAUCAGUAUUGGAAAUGAAUAGAGAAGUGAUGGAAUGUGCAGAACCACAUAUUGGAUUACUUUAGUGCGGCAUGAAGCCACUGAUGCCGAGUUGGCUCUUAUGUAGCUACCUAUGCCUUGCUUGGUCCCCUGGCAUGAUGGAGAUUUGGUAGUGUGUCAUGAGCAUUGAGCUAAGGGGUGGUUGAGCAACUCAAGCGAAUCGCCCUACCUUUCUACAACAUAGGGACAAAAGGGAGAAGGUUGUGAAGGUGGCUUCAUUAUCCACACUUUUGGUCAGAUGAAUGGAGGAUCGACUGACCUAGGUUUUCAUGAGUGUUGGCAAGUCUUGGACUGCUUGUCAAGGGCGCUAGCGCAUACCUCAUGGUGAUCAUCACUACUUGCACCUCACAUCUUGGUAGUGGAACAUGUACCCACAUGUUGUCUCAUUCAACUACAUUUAUUCCAAUAAUCUAUAGCCUAACAAAAUGCAGCAAUAAGGGACAACCCGCCCAUAUAGCCAGCGGGGAGCAUGACACUACUGGCCAAAGAUCGUUUGGUGAAAACGCUACGGGCGCGAAGCUUGGUAAGCCUGUGAUAACCCUAUAAUAUAGGGUUAUGUGGGCUUAAUUUUGAUAGUAAUUUAACUUAGUUCUUGUAGUAAUAUAUAGAAAUUAAUAGGUUUUAUUUAAUUAUUUUAAAUUGGUUAUUUUAGUUAAGUCAAUCUAAUCUUAGUUAAUUUCAUACUUAAUUUGGUGUUAAUGUGGUUAAGAUAGGUUGUUAUUGAUUUAUUUGUGCUUUUGUAGGUCUUUGAUGAAAGAAGAAUUUUAGUGGAAGAAAAAGAGCAAUUUCAAGGUGUAGAUUUUUACUACACAUAUUUUGGUAUCUCAACCAUAACUCUCUCUAAUGAGCUCCAAAUGAAGUGAUUCUUAGACCAUUAGAAAGAUAAGAGAAAAAUAUACAACUUUCAUGUUUAUCACUUCACCCAGUUCUACCUGGAAGGUGGUAAAAAAUCUAGUCAAAGUUGACACAUUGUAGUAGUCCUAGAGCAAUUAUGAUUUCUGUUAAUUAAUUGGGCGAGGCUAGGACCCACAUAGUCUAAUGAGGAAAUCCUAGCUAAAAUUUACUUCUUCCUUCACCCAACUUGGCCUAACUUCUAAGUCUUAUAAAAAUAACCUUUCGGAGGACUUUUAAGAGAGAACAAAACACUAAGUAAAUAGCUGAUAGUCAAGCCACAGAGUUGUUGAAGCUAAGAAUAAUUUGAAGGAUCCAAGGAGAUUUGGAGAUAAAAAAUACAAUUCUUGAGUUUUUCUAUCUUUUUUUAUUCUUUUAUUCUCUUGGUUUUGUUUUUAAUAUUUAAAAUUUAUUCAAUGAUGAUGUGUGACUUGAUGGGGAACUAAACUUUUUAUCUAAGAUUAUGAUUGAACUCAAUGUGUAAUCUGAAUUAUUUAUCUCUCUUUUACUCAUGCUUAAUGGAUUUAAGUUGUUUAUUUUAUUUUGUUCUUAAUGCUUCUAGUUGACUAGCCACCAAUUAGAUUGAAUUCGAAACCUAGGUUAAACCUUGAAGGAAGGAGAUUUAGGUAGACCUUGAAUAAAAUAGCAUAUGAUCGAAUGCACUUAGUUGAUUAAGUGGUUUGAUUUGCAUAUAGGGUAGACAUACACCUAUAAGCCAUACGUAGCUAAAAUUAGAGCACAAACUUAAUGAAUCUUUCUUCAAUAUAAUUUGCAUAUACAUAUAGUAAAUUAAUUGAGAGAAGUAUUUUUAUGAGAAACUCGACGGAUACUUGUAAAUAAUUUAGGACUUUAGGUUAGCAACUUAAUCCAUUAAACUGAGUUAAGAGAGAAAGACAAUAUUUAGAUGAAGUAUUGAGGGAUGUCAUAAUCUUAGGUCUGGUAAUCACUAGAAGUAAUUUUGUUGAUAUAUUAGUUUUAAUUAUUAGUUGAUUAGUUUCAAUCUUUCUUUUUAAUUUUAAUUGUUUAGAUAAAAUUAGAGUGUGUUAAUUUUAGUAGUUAACAGUAAGGAUUAAUUCAAUUUUUUGUGGGAUCGACACUCUAUUCAUCUCUAAAUUAUCUUUGUGAUACGUAUAAUUUUUUAGCACCGUUGUCGAGAAAUUGAUUUUUAGUUCUUUCUUGUUAAUAUUAAUACCAAGCAUUCUCAAUUUUAAUUCAGACUUUUCUUUCCUUUAAUUUUUUUAAGUACCUUUGGUUGUUGUAUGCGAAGAGCCAGAAAUUUGAAAAUUGUUCCUUUUUAUCCAGAAAUAAAAAAGACUUUUCAAAAACUUCGAAGGAAAAAUAAAAAAGUUUUUGCUUUAAGUAAAACAAUGGCUGAUCAACAAGAGGAAGAGACCAAGCCUUUGAGGGAUUAUGCUGUCCCACAAGUACAAAAUCUCCACUCUAGUAUCCGAAGAUCUCCUAUUCAAGCCAACAAUUUUGGAAUUAAGCCAUCAAUCAUUUUGAUGAUUCAAACUGCUAUUCAGUUUGGGAGUUCGUUUAAUGAUGAUCCGUAUGUUCAUAUUGCAAAUUUCCUAAAAAUUUGCGAUACAUUCAAGGCUAAUGGUGUUACUGCUGAUGCCAUAAGAUUGAGGCUUUUCCCUUUUUCAUUGAGAGAUAAAGCAAAUAGUUGGUUAAAUUCGCUUCCUACUGGUUCCAUUAAUACUUUGAUGGUUUGGCUAAAAAAUUCUUAGCAAAAUUUGCGGAAUGAUAUCACUUCUUUCAUGCAAUUUGAUUCCGAAUCACUAUAUAAGGCUUGGGAGAUGUAUAAGGAUAUGAUAAAAAGGUGUCCUCAACAUGGAUUACCUAAGUGGCUACAAGUUCAGACUUUUUAUAAUGGUUUGCUAGGACCUUUUAGAACUACCAUUGAGGCUGCUGCUAAAGGUGCACUCAUGAGUAAAUGCAUUAAUGAGGCUUAUGAUUUGCUCGAAGAGAUAGCUUAUAAUAAUUAUCAAUGGCCAUCUGAGAGAUUGGGUACAAGAAAAAUUAUUGGAAUUCAUGAAUUAGAUGUGAUAAACACCAUUUCUACACAAUUGGCUUCUCUAGCAAAGAAAAUAGAUAAAUUAAGUGUUAAUGCUGUUCAAAACCCCUUCAUGACAUGUGAAUUUUGUGGGGAAGGACAUUCCAAUGACAAUUGUCCCAUCUAUUUUGAGUCUUGUCAAUUUGUUGGAAAUAGGCAAUGGAACAAUCCCUAUUCCAACACUUAUAAUCCUGGUUGGAGGAAUCAUCCUAAUCUUUCAUGGAAUAACAACCAAGGGUCUUCAUCAGCGGAUAAGUCAAACUUUCCUCUUGGAUUUCCAUUUAGAGCCUCUAUGCCAGAGAAAAAGCCUUCAAUGGAGGAUAUGUUCAUGCAGUCCAUGACAAAGAUUGAUGCAUUUAUGAUAAGGAUUGAUGCCUCUAUUCAAAAUCAAGCAGCUUCAAUUAGAAAUCUUGAGACACAAGUGGGCCAACUUGCCAGUGUUUUAAAUACUAGACCUCCUGGUACCUUACCAAGCGAUACUGAACCCAAGCCAAGAAGAGAAGAUAGUGAACAUUGUAUGGCAAUCACUCUCCGUAAUGGAAAAGAGGUAAGUAAUAAGUUUUAAAUUCUGAGAUUUCAAUUCAAUUUGAUGAGAAAAAAAGUGAAAAAACUACUGAAAAAGAAAUUGUGGUUGAAAAAUUUGUUGAAAAAUCACAAUUAAGAUAUGCUCCCACACUUGCACCACCUUUUCCUCAAUGUUUUCAAAAGCAAAAACUUGACAAACAAUUUUAGAGAUUUCUCAAGGUAUUUAAAAAGCUGCACAUUAAUAUUCCUUUUGCUGAAGCUUUAGAACAAAUGCCAAGUUAUCUUAAAUUCUUGAAUGAUAUCCUAAUCAAAAAGAGGAAAUUGGAAGAUUUUGAGACAAUUGCAUUAUUGAGGAGUGCAGUGCUAUAAUCUAGAACAAGCUUCCACCAAAGCUUAAGGAUCUAGGGAGUUUUUCUAUUCCUUGCACUAUUGGUAGUUUUAAAAUUUCUAAAGCUUUGUGUGAUUUAGGUGCUAGUGUUUUAAUAAUGCCUUUAUCUACUGCUAGAAAACUUGGAUUUCAAGAGAUACAACCUACUACAGUUACCUUGCAAUUAGCAGACAGAACAAUCAGGUACCCAGUUGGAAUUAUAGAAGGUGUUUUGCUUAAAGUUGGGCAUUUAUACAUUAUUGUGGACUUUAUUGUGCUUGAGAUUGAAGAUGAUGUUGAAAUUCCUUUUAUUUUGAGAAGACCAUUCUUAGCUACAACUGGAGGAAUUAUUGAUGUGAAGAAUGGCAAAAUAACUUUUAGAGUUAGAGAAGAGGAAGUGGUAUUUAAUUUGUUCAAUGUAACUUAAUAUCCUUAUACAGAUAGUUGCUAUAAAUUGGAUUUAGUUAAUGAGGUAAAGGUAAGCCUAGUCCACCACCUUCAACGAAGAAGGUACCAACUCUUGAGAUAAAACCACUACCACUUUUCAGUCAUCUUGAUUUGUGGUUGGACAGCGAGUAAUAUUUUCUGAUUCACAACUUCAUCUUUUUCCAUGGAAUCUUAGACCAUAUCAAGGGAACACCUUUAAGGUGGUAAAAAUUCAUCCUUAUGAUAUUAUUGAGAUUUAUAGUGGGCUUACUGGAGCUGUCAAGAUUAAUAUAGAAAGUCUAGAGCCAUAUAAAGUAGUGUAGAAUGGGGUGCCAUAGUCAAGUUAGUGACUAUAAAGAAGCGCCUCUUAAGAGGCAACCUAAGCACUCUAACUUACUUUUUUUUUAUUUAUUUAUUUUAUUUAUUUAAUUAUUAAAUUAUUAAUACUUUCUUUUAUUUUUGUAAGUACAUGCAAAAAAAAUUAGAAAAAUAAUUUUCAAAAAAAGGGGGUUAAGCUGCGACUCCCACUAGAGGAGGUCGCGGCCUCCCACACUUUAAUGAAUGUGGGCCAUUGCCCACUAGGCUCUAGCCCAACCCCUCCCCCCCCCCCCCCUAAAAAAAAAAUAAAUCAAGGUUGCGGCAUCCCCUCUAACGGAUUGUUGGAGUGCAAGUCACGACGUUCCAACAACAAGGCCACAGCCUCACUCCCUUUUGUGAUGUGGGCCAUGACUUUCACUAAAGGGCAGGCCGUAGCCCCCUUUGAUGUGGGCUACCAACAAUGGGCAGCCCACUACCCCAUAAGCCCCCUUGAAGUGGGCUGCCAACAAUGGGCUGCCCACUUACCCACUUACCCACUGCCCACUAACCAUAACCCCUUUCCUUUUUUUUUUUAUAUGGGCUGCCAAUAAUAGGUAGCCCAUUUCCCAACAAAAACCCUUUUUCUUUAUUUAUUUUCUAUUCAGUUAUUUUUAUUUAUUAUUUAUUUUAUUUUCUACAUUAAUCUUUAUUUAUUUUCUUUUUGUAGUUUAAAAAAAAUUCCUCCUAGAAGUGAGAAUGAGGAAGAUGAUAGUAAAAACAAGAUGGAGGACUAGCGCUUCACCAGAUUCAUCCAAUCAUUAGGGGAGUAUUCUUUACCUUUCUUUUAUUUUUUCUAACAUUAAGAACAAUGUUCAGUUUAAGUUUUAAGGGGGGUGAAUUUAUUUUUCUAGUGAUGACUAUUCUGUUGAAGUUUUAGAUUUAGUUUUAUUUGCAUGCGUAUUUAUUUUUAUAAAUAAUUUAGGAUUAGUUGGAAAAUGAAUUUAUUAUUUGCUCGAAUUUUAGAAAUCUAAAAUAAAGUUGUGCCAAUUUUUUUGAUGAUUUCUCUAUCCAAUGUUGAUAACUAGUUGUCUUAAAUUCUUAGCUUUUGGUGAAUAAGGUUUUGUUUGGAUUCAUGCUAAAUUCUGUUGAUGAGUAUCAUUGUUAGGAUGUGAUUUCAACAAUUUUGAGCACUAUAUCUUUUACUUUGAAUUAUUAUGAAUAUUUAGAGAAGGUUUAUAUUGAUGUGAAUUUUAGAUUUCAUGAAUUCUAGAAUUUGUUUGAUUUUCUCUUGAGGUGAAAUCCUAGGCAAUAUUUAGUUAGGGAAAUGAUUUAGGCCAUCUUUGGACUAUUUGAGCUUAAGAAGCUAACCUUGUUAAAUUUUUAUCCCUAGUAUUCCCCUUUGAGCCUAAUUUUCCUUUUCUUUAUUUAACUACCUAAUAAUUGAGCUUAGCCUGAAAAUUAAAUUUCCAAUUUUGCAACCCUCACUCUUAAGCAUGUGUAUUGUUUUAGGAAUUUAAAUUGAGCUAAAUGUUGUAAAAGGUGAAAAGGUGACGUUAAUGUGAAAAAAAAAAGUUCAAAAUAUGAAAUAUAACCCCACUACCUACAAUACAAAGAAAAUAAGUUUGGGGAUGUGAAAUUGUGAAAUUAUGAAAAAAAAUGUGUUGAAAGAAAAAAAAGAAGAAAAAAGAAAAGUUCAAAUGUGGAAGAAAAGAUGUAUUAGGAAAAGCAAAAUAGAGCUCCAUAUAUAGGUCUUAGAAUAAUUAUGUGCUUAGGGUGAUUUGAGCCACAUUAAUAUCCUUUAUCAUACCUUGACCCUAGCCAUACAUUACAAGCUUAUUAAAGUCCUAUUGAUCCCUAGCUUGGUGUUAGUCUACAUUGGUGGAGAGAGAGAUGAAAAGUAAACAUAUGGAGUUCUAGUACUAAUUUGAAAUUGGUGUUGGUAUAAACUCAUUCGGAUAUAAUGAUAUUCUUGGUAAAGUACUACACACACACAUGGAAAUCCAUUCAAGAAUGUGCUUGCAUUGGAAUUGAAACAUGAAUUUGAAUGAGGCCUAUAUUUUUCCAUUGGCUAAUGAUUGAUAGACAUAGUUUUGAGGAAAUUAUAAGAAAUCAUUGAUUUGGUUCACUUUAUCUCUAGUAGUAGUAGUAGUAGCUAUAUUUAUUUUAGUUUUCUUUAACUGAAUUUAAUUUUUGUAAGUUAGUUCUUUUCUAGGUUUUGCUCGAGGAUUAGCAAAAUAUUAAGUUUGGGGGUGUGAUAACUCUAUAAUAUAGAGUUAUUUGGGCUUAAUUUUGAUAGUAAUUUAGCUUAGUUCUUGUAGUAAUGCAUAAAAAUUAGUAAGUUUUAUUUAAUUAUUUUAAAUUAGUUAUUUUAGGUGAGUCAAUCUAGUUUUAAUUAAUUUAUACUUAAUUUGGUGUUAAUGUGGUUAAGAUAUGUUGCUAUUGAUUUAUUUAUGCUUUUGUAGGUGUUUGAUGAAAGAAGAAUUUUUGUGGAAGAAGAAGAGCAAUUUCAAGAUGUAGACUUUUACUGCACAUAUUUUUGUAUUUUGGCCAUAACUCUCUCUACAGAGCUCCAAAUGAAGUGAUUCUUAGACUAUUAGAAAGAUAAGAAAAAAAUAUUCAACUUUAAUGUUUACCACUUCACCCAGUUCUGCUUGGAAGGGGUCAAAAAUCUUGUCAAAGUUGAUGCACUAUAGUAGUCCUAAAGCAAUUACGAUUUCUGUUAAUUAAUUGGGCAAGGUUGCGACCAACAUAGUCCGAUGAGGAAAUCCCAGCUGAAAUUGACUUCUUCUUUUGCCCAACUUGGCCUAACUUCAAAGCCCUAGAAAAACAACAUUUCGAAGGACUUUUAGGAGAGAAUAAAACACCAGAUUAAUAGCUAACAGUCAACCCAUAGAGUUAUUGAAGCUAAGAAGAAUUUGAAGGAUCCAAGGAGAUUUGGAGAUCAAGAAUACCAUUCUUGAGUUUUUCUAUCAUUUUUUAUUCUCUUAUUAUCUUGGUUUUAUUUUUAAUGUUUAAACUUUAUUCAAUGAUGAUGAAUGACUUGAUGGGGAACUAAACUUUUUAUUUAAGAUUAUGAUUGAACUCAAUAUGUAGUCUGAAUUAUUUAUCUCUCUUUUACUUAUGUUUGAUGGAUUUAAGUUGUUUAUUUUAUUCUGUUCUUAAUGCUACUAGUUGACUGGCCACUAAUUAGAUUGAAUUGGAAACCUAAGCUAAACCUUGACGAAGGAGAUUUAGGUAGGCCAUGAAUAGAAUAGUAUAUGAUCGAAUGCACUUAGUUGAUUAAGUGGUUUGAUUUACAUAUAGGGUAGACAUACACCUAUAAGCCAUACGUAUUCAGAAUUAGAGCACAAACUUAAUGAAUCUUUCUUCAAUAUAAUUUUCAUAGACAUAUUUUAAAUUAAUUGAGAGAGGUAUUUUUAUGAGAAACUCAAUAGAGACUUGUAAAUAAUUUAGGACUCUAGGUUAGCAACUUAAUCCAUUAAACUGAGUUAAAAGAGAGAGACAAUAUUCAGAUGAAGUAUGGAGGGAUAUCAUAAUCUUAGGUCUGGUAAUCACUAGAAGUAAUUUUGCUGAUAUAUUAGUUUUAGUUAUUAGUUUAUUAGUUUCAAUCUUUCUUUUUAAUUUUAAUUGUUUAGAUAAAAGUAGGGUGUGUUAAUUUUAAUAGUUAACAGUAAGGAUUAAUUCAAUUCUCUAUAGGAUCAACACUUUACUCAUCUCUAUAUUAUCUUUGCGAUACGUAUAUUUGUGUGGGUAGAAAAUUGAACAACAGCCUGUGCUGAGGGAGCAUAGCAUAAAGAGGAAAGGGAGCUUGGAUGGUGGACAAGCUAGGGGAGGCUAGGUCAUUUGACGAAAAUGGAAGGCUUUUCUCCUAUUAUAGAAGGCCCUAUGAAAUAAAGGGAAGUGCAUGAAUUCUUGGAAUAAGAAGGAGUGAGCUUAUAUAAAAAAUGUAAUAAAGUCAAAUCAAUGAAUAAAUAGAGUCAAAUGUACGACAAAAAGUGCUACCUAAACGCGAAUUCGCUUCCGAGGUCGAGCAUCUUAAUUUCACUAUAGAAUUUGAGAAUGAAUGCUGGGUUGGGCCACCUCGAAUGGCAUGAGCUAUAUGCAAGGUGACUCACACGUACAGUUUUUAAGGGGAUCUAGUCGAAAGAUUGACCGGUGCCCACCCAACUAGAGCGACUGAGAAAUUAAUAAAGUACAAAACUUAUCUUCAAGCUUUACCUUAUUUUGAUAAUUUAGAAGGCGAUUACAGAGUCAUUGAAUGAAGUCCUCCAUUUUUUGGAGGUGUUGACCCACAACGAGGUAGAGAUGACUAAGUGACAUAUGGAAUAUGGCGAUGACAACAACAUGUCAUAGAAGAAGAUAGCAGGUGGAGCCAACGACCCACUAAGACUAAUGUAUCUACAACUACAUCCCUGAGUGGCAGUCAAACGGGAUGGCAAUGCAUGAUGCUAAUGGAAUGAUCAACCAGAUAGAGGCUAGGUUGCUUCCUUCCCACAACGUUCUUCCUUGUGUGUCAGAGAUAUAAAGCGAGUGCAUUGAAAAAGAACGAGAAAUGGGUCAAUCUAUUCUAUGGUGAGGCAUUUGAAGCAUAAUUAUGCAUUCACGCGAUCUUUGUUGAGAGAUAGAAGCAUUCGGUGGAAUCGGUGAAUUGCACUUGCUUUUGGAUAGAUGUGUGGAAUAGAGGGCUCGUGGUACCUGUUGCCCACCCUUCUUCCUCUGCUUUGAGAACCGUGUGAACAGAGAAUGGGUAAAAGGGAAGGAGGUCCUCAUAUAGAGUCGCACAUUUGCUUGAGCAAUGCGAGAGACUUGAGAAUGGGUCGAGUAAACUCCCCUAGGGCCAAAAAAUAACAGACAAAGCUUAACAAUGAGAGGGCUUUGAUUAGUAUUGAUUUUUUCUUAGUGAUUGGUAAGGAGGGUGCUUGGGUAUGUUACAAAAACGGAAGGAAGUGGUAGUACUUCGAAUGGCGAAGAAAGGUGGCUCGACAGAGAAGGAAUGGGAAAUCAUCAAGGAUGACUUCUUUGUGUUAUUAGCGAAAUGAAGGGCUAAAUAGUGCUAGUGAUUCUCUAAGUCGGUCUAGAUUUCCAAUGCUUCUGGAAACACUUGUCAAGAUAGAUGACAACGCCUUUUUCCUAUCCUCCUUACUGAGAGGGAAAUCUUCUCUUAUGGCCUUCACCUCUCGCCUGUGUAACGACCCUCUUCCCCAAUCGUUACCGGCGUCCAAUACUUACGGGAAAACUCGCCAAAUCUUGAACAAGUCUUAAUUGAGAUUCUAGUUAACUAAAUCGAACAUUUUAAUGCGUAAAUUAAUCAACUCAGAUUUCUUUAUAACGGACCACAUUGUGAUGACUAUUAAAAAUUCUAUCGACUUGUAUAAAUAAGAUUGUUUACUUAAAGCGAAUAAGAAACUUCAAUUAAAAUCGGUAAAUAGAUAUCAAUCUCCAAAUCUAACAAAUUUCAAAAUACAUUCGAACAUCACACUUAGAAUUCAUUACACGACAUCAAAGUUGUUCGGUGAUACUUUUUUGAUAAACUAUAUUUUUUUAUACAACCUACCAUCCUACACAAACAUGACCUCUAUGCAAUAGAGUGACUCAAAGUGGAAGUCUAAGAGAUAACAUUACCUAUGUUGCAACAAGUAAAAAUAUGCUGAGGCAAUACAUGCGAGCUGAUCACUUAUCUAUAAAAAGGGGAAGAUAAGGGGGGUGAGUCUCACAGACCCAGUGGUCAUCGGCUCUAUGAGCAGGACGUAGAUGGGAAACAAGCCAAGGAUAGAAAACUUCAAUAUUAAAAACAUAUGAAUAUAUAAACAAUUUAAACUCAAAUGGAACAUUUGUGCCUUACAUAAAUACCAAAGAAUGUGAUUUAAAGUAACCAUUUCAUGUAAUAUAAUAAAAUCGGUGCAAUUAAAAGAUUUCUACCAUUGAAAUCAUUUAAUGUCCUUUACUUAAAAUCGAACUAACAUAAGCACGCAUGCUCCCGUAAAAUCAAGCAAUAUCAAUGCUUAUACACAAGCAUAUGAAUGAACUCAUACUUGAGGUAUUAAACACAAAACCAUCGUAUAAAUAAAGGAGUUGUGAAAAAAUCGAUAUUUCUCACCAUGCGAAAGAAUAUGUAUUUGAAAACUCCAAAGAGAUCACUCUCGAGUAAGUAAUCAACCCGUGGACCCACUUCCACAUAAUAACAUCCGAGAGGCCCCCCUCCACCGGAUUCCCACAGCCAUAGUAGUCUUGACGAUGUUGGCCGACAUUGGAGAAAUCAUGUGGUCACAACCACAUAUAUCAACUUGUGGCCUAGCCAUGUAUAUUAACCCGUGGCCUUGCCAUGUAUAUAUCACAGACCGCGACCUGGCCAUAUCUAACAGCUUGUAGGUGACCCAAUGGUUCUCUAGCUAGAGCUCACUUGUGCACAAGGGUCACACUAUUUCGAUGAGAUAUUCGGCCUACUCUCGAGUCUCUUGGUUUGACAAAGCCAUUUAUAACCAAAUUUGGGUUUUUAAAAGCUUAUUACCAACCCAUUUCAAAAACAAACCAUGGCAACGUUAUAAAUCCAUUUGUAAGAAUUCACAAUGUAAAACCUUUGCAUGAGGUUUAAGUAUUAAAUCAAGCAUGGUGAACAUAAAGCUUAUUCAUGAAUGCACAUCACAAAGACAAGUAAGUCACGUUUUGACAUAAAUCGUGUUAAAGAAUUUGUUUCCCGAUUUCUAAAACCCUUUACAUAUAUAGCUUAUAUAUAUACAAAACAAUUAAAAACAUGGCAUCCACAAAUGCCUAGCAUUCUACCAGUAUAUGCUAUCCAUAAUUGCGAGUACAAUCCAAUUGCAAAUUAAUUUGAAAUCGCCUAUUGGAACUAACAACUCAUGCUAUCCAUAAUUGCAUUUAAAGAAAAUUGGUAAUGUUUAUUAUACGUAUGUCAUUAUAUAAUUUAUGGAACUUUUAAAAGUAGAUACCCCUUACUCACCUCAUAGUGGUGGGAUGCUACUUUGCCAUUGAUUGGGUGAGUCUCUAGCUAAUUUUACUUACUAGUCACCCGUCACCUCCUUCGGUACAUUGCCACGACAAUCUUUCCUCACUUAUACACUUCUUAGCAUCAAAUUAAACUUAAUAUACUUAGUGAACGUCACCACAAUUUGGAUCAUAUUUAGCAUAUUCUUAGUUCUCUUUGUUUUCAAGAAUCCCGCACAAUAGCCGACCUUUCUCAUUAUGUUUACUUUCGUGUUUAUAUUCAAUUGUACACAUAUUUGGGCAGCACCUUAAUCAAUGAAUCUUUAAACUAAAUUCUCAUUUUUCACCCUUAUCAUUCAUAAUAAUCUAACAUGCAAUCUAUAAACUUUCAACUAACCAAUCCAAUAUAACAUAGCAUACCCGCAUUGCAUGCUCACCUUCCGAUUUACCUUGAAUAUCACAUGUAACUUAAUAACUCCUCACAUCCUCAGUCAUUAUUGCUGCCACAAGCACAAAUAAUCAGUACACAUUUCAUUUUUUUUUCCUUUCCACUUAUGAUCUCAAGGUUAGAAACACUUACCCAUCAUUUGUCUUGCUUUAAAUCACCAUACUUCUAUGAUUAACCCACAUGCAUGCACUUAGUUCUUUGAAUCCUUAAAGAUCUUUACUACCACAAGCACAAUCUCACAUCACAAUUGGUUCACGAGGCAUGCAUUCAAGCAAAAUGAUAGCUUUUACCUUCCUUACCCUUAAAUCACUAAGCCGAAUUUGAGAUCUCAACCUUUAGAGACCCGUAACUAGAAGUAGACACGAUAAUACUGACCAGGGGUAAUUUCAUCAUUUCUCCUAGUGAGCCCCUGAAAGUAGUUUUUUAAUGUUAUUAAGGUCCAAGUAGGCCUAAGGAAUGAAUGAAUGAGGGUAAGACAAUGAACAAGAUAGAAAUAACGAUAAUUUUCAUGGUAUGGGUAAAACAGUCAUUUUGCAUCUCGAGUUGAAAUUUUUAAGUUUUCAUGAACCCAAGCAUUUCUAGACCCUUAUGGACCUUGUCUUAGUGUCAAAGAAGUAAAAAGAUUGUAUAAAGGCAAUGGAAAGACAAAAUGACCUUGUUAAGGGCAUUUUGGUAAUUUCAUGAGAAAAUGGAUAAAUAUAAAGCAUAAAUAUCUAAGUUUCUAGGAGGUUCUUCAAAUUUCCAGCACUUCUUCUUCUUCCUUUCCCACGGUUUUGCACCCCCCAUGGAAGCUUGCUUUGAAUUUUCCAUAUAUUUCCUCUAGUUGUUUUUGAUUUUCAUGUUUUUGUGCACCCUUUCACAAAGUUCUUUGUGCUCUUUUACUUUUUCACAAUAAAACCCUUAAGAACCUUUCCUUAGUACACUUUCUCACUAGCUGGACAUUUUAGAGAGAGAAAGAGAGAGACUUUCCACAUUUGUUUGGAAGCUAUUGGAAGAGAAUUCAGCUAUAAAGAAACCUUAAGGUGAGUGAUGAACUAGGCUUGAUUUUAAGUUGUUGAUAAUGGCUAGUAAUGGGGAUUAUGAGUUGUUUUAUUGUUGAGGUUGUUUUUUCAUUUUUAGUGUGAUCAGAGUAGUGCAAGGAAUAGCCAUUUGAUAUAGUUGGAAGCCAAUUAAGAAUGACUAAUAGAACUUGAAUUAGAAACUAGCUUUUGGAGUGAUAUUUAUGUAAAUUGGAUUAGAUGUGAUGUUUUUAUGCGUGAUAGGUUCCAACGAGGCCCCACAACCCCAUUUGAACCAUUAGUGGAGGUUAGAGUUGAUUAGAGGUUCAACAAUACCGGUGCGUGAACUUGCAUUUCAAAAUUAUUUUGAAAAAUAGAAUUGUGUUGAGAUGAAUUAUUUGCAUGAUUUUAUCCAACUUUUCAUUACAAAUGGGUGCUUGGGAACAAGCACUUGAUAAAUGCUUUGAUGUUGUAAAAGGUGUGAAAUGUGUAAAGAGGAUGAAUUCAUGUGCUCCUAUAUUGUGUUGGUAUACAUAUUUGAAUGUAUGUUGUGCAAUGAUAAAAAAUGUUGUAUGAUGAUAAUGAGGUGUGCGAGUAGGGAGUGCACACAUGAUGACAUUAAAAUGUGCGAAUAGGGAGUGCACAUAUGGUGGUAUUGCCUUGUGCGUGUAGGGAGUGCACAAGAACUGAGGAAGGCGGGGUGGUGUAGGUGUUAUAUAUAAUUUAUAUCUCUAGAUAUGUGAUGGAAUGUGUGUGAUUGUAAAAUGUGAUUGUAUGGCAUGUUGAAAUUGGCAUGAUGAACCUUGAGAAUUUCUCAUUUUCUUGCAAAUUGAUUUUAUUGCAGCACCAAAUGGAUUUUUAGUGCAAAGGAGGUCCUUUUUACAUUUAAGUGCCUUGCUUCUCACUGCAGCAAGAAACAUUUUGUUUUGGCCGCUAGCAACUAGCUGCAGCGAGAAACUCUCGAGUUUUGGUGCAGUGCUUUCACUUUGAUGAAGAUUUUGACUACCUUCCCAUCCAAACUAGGAAAAGUGGUAAACAUAAAAGUUGUAUCCCUGCCUCUUAGAUUUCUAAUGGAUCAAAAAUUAGGUCAAUUGGACUUCUGUAGUGGGAGAUAUGCGAGAAAAAGUAAAACACAUUCAAACUAACACUGUUUCUCGCUGCAGCGAGAAACUUGCUGCCAUGCUUGCUACCUUGCUUGAUUUUGAUAUAUUUUUCACCCAUUUAACUUCAUGGAUUGAUCAUGGGUUUUUGCAAAACUAUGAGGUUAUUAAUCAAAGUUUGAAAAGAGGGGUUUUUAGUAAGAAAUUAAAUCAAUUACAUUGUUUUUGAAACAAGUGCAUCAUGAUUUCUAAAUUCUUCCUAUCGAUUGCUUGUUCCCUUCUUAUGUUCACUCAUUGAGUUUGUACUCACUAUUUUCAAUUUCAUGUUUUCAGAUCAGGAGGCAGUUGGAACCUGGGUCGAGGUGUCCACGUAGUUUUGUCUCCUUGGUAGGUAUUUUGGCAUUCAGUAGCUGCAUCUUCACUGUGGUCACUUCGCUGGAAGUCAAGAGUCCUUUUGUUUUAUGAAUAAAUUCAUGUGAUGUAAAGUACUAAGAUACAUAUCUUAGACAAGAUAUGUAUAUUUUAAUUGUUAAAGCUACCAUGAGUUGAAAUGUUAACAUCAUUUUGGGUUUAUAAUGAAAUUCUUGAUUGCUAUAGCCCAUUAUUAAAGUGAUUAUAAGUUGGACUUAUGAAAGGUGACUUGAGAAUAGUUGAUGGAAUGUUGAGCAAGAUUAUAUAAUACGCUUGCUUGGGCUUGGUGGGCUAUGCCUAUUGGACCCAUGUGCUGAUCAUGGCCCAAAAAUUGGGUCGUGACAUACUUGGUAUCAGAGCCCUAGGUUGUUUAGGUCUUAGGACUUCCUUAUUGUUGGUCUAGCGAAGUGUCGGGUCUUUAUGUGAAAACUUCGAUUGUGAAGUGUGAAUCGUGACACAUUUAAUAACCAAGGGACCACAUAGAUUCCUUAUUUUAGAAACCACCUUUUCCUAUAUGUAUGAUUAUAGAAAAAUGUGUUUAAUAAUAGGUGUUUGCUCUUGUGUAGGUAAGAAUGCCGCCUAAGAAACGAGGUGCCUCAAGAUGGAUGGGGGAGCAAGAUGCUCUUAAUGAAAUGAUAGAUAGGCCACGGGCAUCCACCCUUAAGGGGCGAGGUAAACGUGGCGGGGCCACUAGGUCAGUGAGGGCCAAUACUCCUGUGAGUAGACGAGAGGAGGGACAGUCGUCGAGUGAUGUGGAUAGAUAACCAACUGGGGGCAUUACCAUCGAGGACUUGGCCACAGGCCUGCAGGGAGUUAAACGAAUUGUAGAGAUGAUGGCAGCCUGUAUGGAUGAUAUACAAAAAGUAGUGGAGGGGAUACCUAUAGUAUAAGAAUCCCCUAGUUCUCAAGGGCAGGUCGAACGCCAACAUCUUGAGGUCGAUAGGGGUCAUUUAGAGAUUUCUCUUCCUGAUUUUCUCAAGCUUAAGCCUCCAUCAUUUUCAGGGUCUGAUGCAUCGGAGAAACCCUAGAUUUUCUUAGAUAAGAUGGAGAAGAUUUGUAAAACCUUGGGAUGUUCCAGUGUCCGAUCAGUCGAGCUAGCUGCCUUCCUAUUAGAGGACGUGGCGCAAAAGUGGUAUAGUUCCUUAUGUAGAGGUAGACCAAUGGAUGCAUCACCAUUGACUUGGAGUGAGUUCAGUACAACAUUUUUAGAUCGAUUUUUAACACUCAAUGUACGUAAUGCCAGAGCCAGGGAGUUUAAAGCUUUGGUACAGAGCUCGAGUAUGACAGUGUCUGAUUACGACAUACAAUUCACACAGUUAUCUCGGUAUGCGCCUUAUUUAGUUUCUACAGAGGAGAUAAAGAUACAGAGGGUUGUGGAUGGGCUAGUGGAGCCAUUGUUUAAUGCUGUGGCAUCCCGAGAUUUCAGUACUUACUUCGCAGCAGUGGAUUAUGCUCAGUGGAUUGAGAUGAGGACCAGUGAGAGUAGGGCUGUGAGGGAUAAAGUGUAAAGGGCCAAGACAGAGAGCUAUCAAGGUCGCAGGGAUUUCAGUAAUGGUAUUUCAUCUUCUAGUCGUCAGGGCCCACAGAAGGAAUCACGGUUACCUCAAUGGGGGAGUGAUGUGGCUAGUGCUAGUGUUGGAUCAGGGCAGAAAACCUUUGGUGGGGGAAGGCAGCAAGAUUCAAGGCAGAGUAGUCAAGUUAUCAACCCUUGUAGUACUUGUGGGGUACGACAUAAGGGACGAUGUUUUCUUUCUACAAGAGUUUAUUUCAGGUGUGGUUAACUUGGACAUAUUAGGAGGAAUUGCCUGAUGACUCAUCAAUCACAAGGUUCUGCUCCCAGCUCUACCCGGCCAGCUUCGUCUGCUUCUUCAAUUGUCACCCUAUCUGAUCCGGAGGCUAGUAGAUUAAGAGGUAAAGGUGCUGUCACUUCCUCUCAAGGUAAGCCUUUUGGGUUUGGACAUCAGAGUGCUACUUGUAGAGGUCAAGUGAGGGUAUAUGCUGUAACACCCCAAGAGGCCCAUACAUCCAAUGCAGUGGUCUCAAGUACUCUUUCCGUUUGUAAUAUGAAUGCUCGAGUAUUGUUUGAUCCUGGUGCUACCCACUUUUUUAUUUCUUCAUGCUUUACAUCUCGUUUGGGUAAUGAUUUUGUUAGGAAAGAAGAACAAUUAGUGGUGUCUACUCCUUUAAAUGAGGUAUUUGUGGCUGAAUGAGAAUAUGAGUCCUGUGUAGUUCGAGUCAAGGACAAGGAUACUUUGGUGAAUCUAGUGGUGUUAGACACCUUAGACUUAGAUGUGAUCUUGGGAAUGGAUUAGCUAUCACCCUGCCACGCCAGUGUGGAUUGUUAUCAUCAAUUGGUUAGAUUUGAUUUUCCCGGUGAACCAUCAUUUAGUAUUCAAGGGGAUAGGAGUAAUGCUCCAACCAAUUUGAUAUCGAUCAUGUCUAGCAGAAGGUUGUUAAGAUAGGGUUGUUUAGGUUACUUGGCUGUGGUAAGGGAUACUCAAGCGAAGUUGGAGAUAUAAGCCAAGUGUCGGUGGUGAAUGAGUUCAUGGAUGUAUUUCCUGAGGAACUACCAAGUUUGCCUCCCAAAGGAGAGAUUGAAUUUUGCAUAGAUUUGAUUCCCGACACUAGACUUGUAUCCAUACCCCCAUAUAGAAUGGCACCGAUGGAGCUUAAGGAACUUAUGGAUCAGUUGGAGGAUUUGUUAGAUAAAGGCUUCAUUCGCCCCAGCGUCUCACCAUGGGAAGCACCGGUGCUAUUUGUAAAGAAGAAAGAUGGGUCACUUAGAUUAUGUAUUGACUACCGACAACUUAAUAAGGUAACAGUGAAGAAUAAGUACCUCCUUCCAAGAAUAGAUGAUUUAUUUGAUCAACUACAAGGAGCACAAUGUUUCUCUAAAAUAGAUCUAUGAUCUGGGUACCAUCAGUUGAGGAUCCGGAAUGACGAUAUACCCAAGACCACAUUUCGAACAAGAUAUGGGCACUAUGAGUUCUUGGUGAUGUCAUUUGGGCUUACGAAUGCACCUGCAGCCUUUAUGGAUUUGAUGAAUUGAGUGUUCAAGCCCUAUUUGGACAAGUUCAUGGUGGUGUUUAUUAACGACAUCUUGAUCUACUCGAGGAACAGAGAGGAACACAAGCAGUGUCUUAAGAUAGUGCUCCAAACUUUGAGAGAACAUCGAUUGUAUGCCAAGUUCUCCAAGUGUGAGUUCUGGCUUGAAAGCGUUGCAUUCUUGGGACAUGUGGUAUCCAAAGAUGGGGUACAAGUCGAUCUAAAGAAAGUCGAGGUAGUGGAAAAGUGGCCAAAGCCAACAUCAAUUACGGAGAUUAGAAGCUUUUUGGGUUUGGCUGGCUAUUAUCGUUGUUUUGUGAAGGACUUCUCCAAAAUAGUCACCCCUUUGACUAAGCUGACACGUAAAGAUACAAAAUUUGAGUGGUCAGAUGCUUGUGAGGAUAGCUUUGAGAAGCUUAAGGCAUGUCUCACCACAGCUCCAGUAUUAAGCCUACCGCAAGGCACAAGGGGUUAUACAGUAUUUUGUGAUGCAUCACGGGUUGGUUUAGGGUGUGUAUUAAUGUUGCAUGGGAAGGUAAUCGCAUAUGCAUCAAGACAACUUAAAAGGCAUGAGAAAAAGUACCCCGUACACAAUUUGGAGAUGGAAGCAAUCGUGUUCGCCUUAAAGAUUUGGAGACAUUACUUGUAUGGUGAGACUUACGAGAUAUAUACGAAUCACAAAAGCUUGAAGUAUAUAUUUCAACAAAGGGAUCUUAACUUGUGGCAACGUAGGUGGAUGGAGUUGCUAAAGGAUUAUGAUUGUACUAUUCUUUACCAUCCUAGUAAGGUAAAUGUGGUGGCAGAUGCCUUGAGUCGAAAAUCAAUGGGGAGUCUGGCACAUAUCUCUAUAGAUAUGAGACCUUUGAUUAAGGAGAUGCAUAGCUUGGGAGACGUGGGUGUUCAUUUAAAAGUUUCAAAUGCAAAUGCAUUGCUAGCACAUUUUAAAGUGGGGCCUAUCUUAAUGGACUGGAUCAAAGAAGCACAAAGUAAAGAUGAGUUCGUAGCUAAGGCCUUAGAGAACCUUCAAGGAAGGAAAGGAAAGAUGUUUACUAAAGGCACUGAUGGAGUAUUGAGGUAUGGAACUAGACUUUAUGUGCCCGCUAGUGAUGGAUUGAGGAGAGAAAUAUUGGAAGAAGUGGACAUGGCAACCUAUGUAGUACAUCCAGGGGCUACAAAGAUGUAUCAAGAUUUGAGGGAGGUGUAUUGGUGGGAAAGACUCAAGAAAGAUGUAGCUGAGUUUGUCUCUAAGUGCCUGGUUUGUUAACAAGUGGGCAAAACAUCAAAGGCCCGCGGGAGUACUACAACCGUUACUAGUGCCUGAAUGGAAGUGAAAGCAUAUUGCAAUGGACUUUGUAAUGGGUUUGCCUCGAACUAGUGAGGGCUAUGACUUGAUCUGGGUCAUAGUGGACCGGUUAACGAAAUCAGCUCAUUUCCUUCCAAUUAAAACUACAUACGGGGCCGCCCAGUACACCCAACUUUAUGUAGACGAGGUAAUAAGGCUGCAUGGCAUUUCUAUUUCUAUAGUAUCUGACAGGGGGGCAUAAUUCACCAAUAGGUUCUAGGAAAAGUUGCAGGAAGCGUUGGGCACUAAGUUAGAUUUUAGCACGGCUUUCCACCCAUAAACAGAUGGCUAGUCUGAACAAACGAUACAAACAUUGUAAGAUAUGUUGAGGGCCUAUGUAAAGACCUUGGGGUCAGGUGGGAUCGAUAUCUACCCUUAGUGGAGUUUGCCUACAACAACAGUUUCCAAACUAGUAUCCAAAUGGCACCAUUUGAAGCAUUAUGUGGACGAAGAUGUAGGUCGCCCAUUGGAUGGCUAGAGAUGGGAGAAAGAAAACUCUUGGGGCCUGAGUUGGUGUAGGACGCCACCGAGAAGAUACAUAUGAUUCGACAGAGGAUGUUGUCAGCACAAAGUAGACAAAAAUCAUAUACUGAUAACAGACGGAGAGACUUGGAGUUUUAGGUAGGGGAUCAUGUAUUUUUUAAGGUCUCACCAACAAAAGGGGUAAUAAGGUUCUGCAAGAAAGGAAAAUUGAGCCCUCGGUAUAUAGGACCCUUCAAGAUCUUAGAAAGGGUUGGAGCAGUAGCAUAUCGGUUGGCAUUAUCGCUAAACCUUUCGAAUAUUCACCCCGUGUUUCAUGUGUCAAUGCUUAGGAAGUAUAACCCGAAUCCAUCUCAUGUAAUACGGUAUGAGACCAUCCAGCUGAAAGAUAAUUUGACCUAUGAGGAGUAACCGGUAGCUAUCUUUAAUCGGCAAGUCAAAAAGCUCCGUUCAAAGGCUGUAGCAUCAGUGAAAGUGUUAUGGCGAAACCACACCAGUGAGGAGGUAACGUGGGAAAUCGAAGACGAGAUACAGGCAAAGUAUCCACACCUCUUUAAUGUAUAGAGGUAAGCUACCUUAUAGUUGGAUUUAAAUUCGGGGAUUGAAUUUCUUUUAGUGGGGGAGAAUGUGAGAUCUUGACUUCUAGAGACCCGUAACUAGAAGUAAAUGCGAUAAUAAGGACCAAGGGUAAUUUCAUCAUUUCUCUUGGUGAGCCUCUGAAAGUAGUUUUCUAAUCUUAUUAAAGUUCAAGUAGGCCUAAGGAAUGAAUGAAUAAGGGUAAGAUAAUGAAGAAGAUAGAAAUAACGAUAAUUUUCAUGGUAGGGGUAAAACAGUCAUUUUGCAUCUUGAGUUGAAAUUUUUAAGUUUUCAUGAACCCGAACAUUCUAGACCCUUAUGGACCUUGUCUCAGUGUUAAAGAAGUAAAAAGAUUGUAUAAAGGCAAUGGAAAGACAAAAUGACCUUGUUAAGGGCAUUUUGGUAAUUUCAUGAGAAAAUGGAUAAACAUAAAGCAUAAAUAUCUAAGUUCCUAGGAGGUUUUUCAAAUUUCCAGCACUUUUUCUUCUUCUUCUUCCUUUCCCACAUUUUUGCAUCCCCCAUGGCAGCUUGCUUUGAAACUUCCAUAUAUUUCCUCGAGUUAACCCCGAUUUUCAUGUUUUUGUGCACCCUUUUCACUAAGUUCUUUGUGCUCUUUUGCUUUUUCACCAUAAAACCAUAAAAAACCUUUCCUUAUUACACUCUCUCACUAGUUGGACAUUCUAGAGAGAGAGAGAGAGAGAGAGAGAGAGAGAGAGAGAGAGAGAGAGACUUUCCACAUUUGUUUGGAAGCUAUUGGAAGAGAAUUUAGCUACAAAGAAACCCUAAGGUGAGUGAUGAACUAGGCUUGGUUUUAAGUUGUUGAUAAUGGCUAGUAAUUGAGAUUAUGAGCUGUUUUAUUGUUGAGGUUGUUUAUUCUUUUUUAGUGUGAUUAGAGUAGAGCAAGGAAUAGCCAUUUGAUAUAAUUGGAAGCUAAUUAGGAAUGACUAGUAGAACUUGAAUUAGAAACUAGCUUUUGGAGUGAUAUUAAUGUAAAUUGGAUUGGUUAUGAUGUUUUUGUGCGUGAUAGGUUCCAACAAGGCCCCACAGCCCCAUUUGAACCAUUAGUGGAGGUUAGAGUUAAUUAGAGGUUCAACAAUACCGGUGAGUGAACUUGCAUUUCAAAAUUGUUUUGGAAAAUAGAAUUGUGUUGAGAUGAAUUAUUUGCUUGAUUUUAUCCAACUUUUCUUUACAAAUUGGUGCUUGGGAACAAGCCCUUGAUAAAUGCUUUGAUGUUGUAAAAGGUGUGAAAUGUGUAAAGAGGAUGAAUUCAUAUGCUCCUAUAUUGUGUUGGUAUACAUAUUUGAAUGUAUGUUGUGCAAUGAUAAAUAAUGUUGUAUGAUGAUAAUGAGGUGUGCGAGUAGGGAGUGUACACAUGAUGACAUUGAAAUGUGCAAGUAAGGAGUGCACAUAUGGUGGUAUUGCCUUGUACGUGUAGGGAGUGCACAAGAGUUGAGGAAGGCGGGGUGGUGUAGGUGUUAUAUAUGAUUAUAUCUAUAGAUAUGUGAUAGAAUGUGUGUGAUUGUAUGGCAUGUUGAAAUUGGCAUGAUGAACCUUGAGAAUUUCCCAUUUUCUUGCAAAUUGAUUUUAUUGUAGCACCAAAUAGAUUUUAGUGCAAAGGAGGUCCUUUCUACAUUUAAGUGCCCUGCUUCUUGCUACAGCAAGAAAGCAUUCUCGUUGCAGUGAGAAACAUUUUGUUUUGGUCGUCAACAACUCGCUACAGUGAGAAUAAAUCUCGCUGCAGCGAGAAACUCUCAAGUUCUAGUGUAGUGUUUUCACUUCAAUGAAGAUUUUGACCACAUUCCUGUCUGAACUAGGAAAAGUAGUAAACAUAAAAGUUGUAUCCCUACCUCUUAGAUUUCUAAUGGUUUAAAAAUCAGGUCAAUUGGACUUCUAUAGUGGGAGAUAUGCUAGAAAAAGUAAAACACAUGUAAACUGACACUAUUUCUCGUUGCAGCGAGAAACUUGCUGCCAUGCUUGCUACCUUGCUUGAUUUUGACAUAUUUUUCACCCAUUUAACUUCAUGGAUUGAUCAUGGGUUUUUGCAACACUAUGAGGUUAUUAAUCAAAGUUUGAAAUGAGGGGUUUUUAGUAAGAAAUUAAAUCAAUUGCAUUGUUUUUGAAAUAAGUGCAUCAUGAUUUCUAAAUUCUUCCUAUCGAUUGCUUGUUCCCUUCUUAUGUUCACUCAUUGCGUUUGUACUUAUUGUUUUCAAUUUCAUGUUUUCAGAUCAGGAGGUAGUUGGAACCUAGGUCGAGGUGUCCACGUAGUUUCGUCUCCUUGGUAGGUAUUUUGGCAUUCAGUAGCCGCACCUUCACUAUGGUCACUCUGCUGGAAGUCAAGAGUCAUUUUGUUUUAUGUAUACGUUCAUGUGAUGUAAAGUCUAAGAUACGUGUCUUAGACAAAAUAUGUAUAUUUUAACUGUUAAAGCCACCAUGAGUUGAAAUGUUAACAUCAUUUUGGGUUUAUAUUAAUGAAAUUCUUGAUUGUUAUAAUCCAUUAUUAAAGUGAUUAUAAGUUGAACUUAUGAAAGGUGACUUGAGAAUAGUUGAUGGAAUGUUGAGCAAGAUUAUAUAAUAGGCUUGCUUGGGCUUUGUGGGCUAUGCCCAUUGGGCCCAUGCAUCGGUCAUGGCUCGAAAAUUGGGUGGUGACACCGAAACACCAAUUUUUUUCCUUCAAGCUUCAAUAAUGGCAUAUGGGACGAAACCUUUCAAUUUUUCUCCAAUUUCUCCAAGCUGACCUUUCUUUCUUUUUCUCCUCUCCUUUCUUUUUUCUUUUUUCUCUUUGCUUUCCUCUCGGGUGGAGCUCUCAAGGUUGAUCCCUUUUCUCUUUUUCCUCUUAAAGGCACGGGUGUCCCAAGCCUUUCCCCACAUUUCUCUUUAUUUUAUUCCUCACUUCUCAUUGGACCAAUUCAUCACCCAUUCAAUUUUCAUGCACGAAUUUUCUUCCUUGUUCAUUAACCCAAUAGCUAUCUUCAUUUAUCUUCUCCAUCCGCCACCUUCACUACCUCAUCCUUUCUUUCUUCAUUCUUUAUUUCAUGCACCACCUUAUUCAUCCAAUCAUAUUUCAUUCACAACCUUUUCUUUAUAUUUUAUUUGGUCAUUCAUUAAACUAUUCAAGUCACAUGCAUCCCACUUUUUUCUUUCCUCAUUUGGCCACCUAAUACAACAAUCUUGUUACAUGCAAUAGGAUUUAUUCUUAUUCUUUUUUUUUAUUUCACAUGAUGGGGGUCCCACAUGUUUCCCACUAACUAUUUCCUUUUUGCAUGCAAUAAUUUGCAUAUAAUAGUGAAUCCAUAUGCACAUUUCAUUAUCCCACAUAUCCUCAUUAUCUCAAUUAAUUCUCCAUGUCUCCAUUCCUUCCAAACUCACAUAUAUUAUUAUUAAUACUUAUAUCACUAAAAUUUCACUCAUUAAAUUAAUAUUCUAGAAUCAAUAAAAUAAUAUUUUAUUCACCAAAUCAUCAAAAUUAUAUUAUAACUCCCCCACUUAAGUUUAAUGCUUAAAUUAUGUGAGUCUGUCCAUCACUCACAAUAAAAAUAUCUCAAUAUUAUUUUAAUAAUAUUUUACUAAUAAAAUAUUAUUUAAUUCUAAAAUUUUCCAUCUGGCUUUCGAGGUUCCAAAACAUUUUAAUUUAUCCUGGUUUAGCUCCAUCACUCCUUUUUACUCCAUAACAAUUGCCUUAAUAAAAUAUUAUUAUUUUAUUAUACGUGGAAUAUUUUAUUUUAAAAUAUUUUUGUCCUCCUUUACCCUCAUAAACUCCUUCAUUAACCUCAAUUGGGCUUAGUCUUGUGCCUAAAGUCAUAUUAACUACCGUUUUAGGUCACAAGGUGUUACGACCCAGCCCGAAAAUAAAACCUCGCCCCCCUUCUGAUCCAUUCAUUUCUACAAGUAGGGGGGGUCUAGAGUUAAGCCUCCCUUUUAUUAUAUAACCUAAAAAAGAGAGCUAUAAGCAAAGUACCAAAGUGGUUGCGAGAACGAUAUGCUUUGGUUACCGAUGAAUGAUACCAAAGGCGACCCUUUCGAGUUUUCGGCUAUUUCCUAGAUUGAAGUAGCCUUUUGUCACCCUAGCAAAUGAAAGAAGUGACUAUCAAAUAACUUGCCCUACUAAAGUACCAAAGGUGCACUCCGCCUGGUGACUAAGAAAGAAAUGGGUUUGCACUUAAAUUGAAGUGAUGAGGUCACAAAGAAGGAAGAGGGCUCCUAUUGAAACGCUUUCCUUUCCUCAACGACCAACUUUCAAUACUAGUUGUUACGUUAUGUUGCAUUUUUUCCAAUAUCAUUGAAUAGCAUGGCCUAGAGCUACAGUAACUCAAGUGGGAGAGCUGUGUUAUGGGGGACCUUAUUGCACGGUUUAGAGAGCACUUGUGUAUGUGAUGCAAGUGAAUGUGUAUGAAAAAGCUGUCAUAAAGUUCAUUGUUCAUUUCGUCUUUGACCCUCUCUAUGUUUCUAUGAUGGCCCAAGAACACGUUCAUUCUUCAGCUGUAGAGAGACUUUUGAAUUACGAGGUACCAUUACAAGCUCAAUAAAUACGAGUGUUAUUCAGUGAAAUAACUUGAAUUUUAAAUCAUUCACUUGCUUUAACUACUCUUGCCAUGGAUGUGGGAGCAUCAACUCCAUUCUUGUAGGCUUUUGAGGACCAGAACAAAUUGUUGGAAUUAUAUGAAAGAGUCUCGAGAGUGAGGAUGCAUGCCAAUUUCAUAUGAUCAGGUGGAGUGGCACAAGAUCUGCCUCUUGGCUUAUGUCAAGAUAUUGAUUCCUCCACACAACAAUUUGCUUCUCGUAUCGAUGAAUUAAAAGAGAUGUCAACCGCCAACUAUAUUUGGAAAUAACGAUUAAUGGAUAUUGGUACUGUCACUGCACAACAAGCAAAGGAUUGGGAAUUCAGUGGUGUAAUGUUAAGAGGUCAUGCAACAUGAAGACAUUGAUAGCAACAUGAGGGAAGUUCCCAUCAGGCAACAACGAUUCUGGCUGACCCUACUUAAGCAUGAGUAUUAUGUCAGUGAAGACUUGGUGUGAAGCCUUGGAGCUUACGUUAGGAGAGUAAAAGGCUCGGGGCUAAGGUGAGCUAUCAAUGAUCUCAGGUUAUGUUUAUAUUGGCCCGGAUCUAGGAUCUGGGGCUACGUUAGAACCAAAUAAAUUUUGGUUCAUCUAUUAUAUUGGUCAAGACACAUGCUUACAUGACUUUUCAUUUUGCUUGACCUUAAGGUUUGAAGUCUAAAACUCGACCUGAGCUAUGCAUUUGAAUAUGAAUUUAAUUAUCAAGGUUGAUCAUGGCAUAUAUUGUGAGUUGAGAUAGUUGAAAUUUAUUUUGAAUAUGCAUUUAAAUGUUAACUAUAUCUUCAUUGAGCCUUAAUGUUUACAUGAUCUAAAGAUUUUGUGUGGAUCCAACUUUAGCUUAUCGUUCACCAUAAACAACAUGACAUGUCAAAUAAAAUAUGGCCUAUAGCUUUAGUUAGCAAUGAAUGCCUAAUGUGCUUUGAUUAACUAUCUCUUUCUUGAAUCUUGAUAAUUGGUAAUCAUUGAUGAUUGAAUGUUCACUUUGAAUAUAUUCAUGAGUUGAGUGCUUUAUUUUCAAUUUUUUUUAGUAUCACUCAUGAAUUAUGAAGAAUAUUGAGAAAUAGCAUGUACCACAUUAAAAUUCAAUGCUUGUAUUUUUUUUCGUAUAUGUCUAUAUAUUUGUGAAAAAAUGGAAUCAUGAUUAAUGAAGAUAGCCAUUUAUUUUUUGUGGGCAUGCUAGUGCUUACUUGAUCACAAUAUUCUCUUACAUCAUUGCAAUAAGUUUAAAAUGCAUUGGUCAUGCUUCAUUAAUAAUGAUAUGCUUUUUGUGAAAGUUCUCCUUGAAUUGAUAAUUUCAUAUAUAAUUUGGAGAUUACAUCUUGCAAUGCUUGCUUCAAAAUGACUUGGAUGAAUGGCCACUUGAAAAUGAUUUGGAAAAAUGCUCGCUAAAAAUGCUUAAUGAUGAUAAUUUUUUUAAUUUCACCUUGAGUUGUUAUCUUUAUUUAUGAAUUAGGGAAUUUCCUAGAAAUGCUUGAUUAAUACUACUUGGUUGAUUGAUAUUGAGAAUAAAUAAUGAAUGCUUGAUGAUGAUUAAUUGUUGAUAAUACUUGAUGAUAAUUGAGAAUGAUGCUUGAAGACUAAUGAUACCUUAGACAUGCUUAGGAACUACUUUGCAAAUAUUUCUUGAAAUAUGAGUAUUUGAUGCAUAUGUUGAACAUUUAUUCAAAUGCUCAUACUCUUUUGGUUCCAUGAAUACUUGAGUAUUAGAAAAAUAAAUUGAAUAUCCAUUUAAAUGCUCAUUUAUUCUAGGCUCAUGAUUUCUUUCAUAAUAUUUGAUCUAUUAAGGAUCUCUAACAAUUGGUGUUGAGCUUAUGAUUUCUUAAGGGGCAGUCAAUCAUUGUCAUUAAUAUCAUAAGGAAUUAAGAACUUCAACAAUAAGGUUUGGUGAGAAUUCAACAUUUGGUGUUCGUCGCUACCUGUAACAUCUUUCUAAACACCAAAAUAGAUAUUGUGCCUUAUAUUGCUUCUCACUUAAACUUAAAUGUUGAAAUGCAUAAUUGUUAUCAAGCCUUAAGUUUUCUCAAUUAGUGUCUAGCUUUAAAAUUAGCAUCAAGCUUUAUAAUUGUCUCUUCUCACUUGUGCUUUAAAUUGAUCAUAUUUUUCUUAAAUAUUUUGAGACUCGAAGUUGAUACGCUUGGAAUGCUUAAUGAUAAGGGAAGUCUUUACUAGUGCUUUACCAAUUGAUAUAUGGAGCUGUAAAAUGAUUCCAUAUCUCAUAAUUGAUAUUGUGCUUUUACAAAGGAAAAUUUUACUUAUAUCUAUUAAUUGGUAUAUUGAGCUUUAACACUUGGUAUUAGAGUUGAAAUAUGGCUUAUGUUCUUAUUGAACAUCUUUAUGAUUAUCUUUCUUGAACUUCAUAAUUGUUAUGUCCACAUUUUCCUUAUAGAUAUAUGUACAUGUGGCUUUUUUAUUGAUAAAUCUCUUGAUGAAUUAAUACUUGAAUGUGCUUAAUGGGUAUAUUUUUUAAUGACUUGGUUGAGGAUAUUAAGUGCAUAUAUAUAUGAUGACUUGGUGACUUUAUAGUUACAUAUCCAUGGUCUUAAUGCUUAUAUUCUUGAUGGAUUUUCCUAACCAUUAUUUCUUGAGCUUAAAAAGUUUAAUGCUCACUCUUCUUAACCUUUAUUGAUAUAACAAAAAGGGGGAGAAGGUUUAUGAGCAAAUUUAAUUUUAUGCAUAUGUUGAGGGGGAGAUUUUAAAAUCAUUUCAAAUGCAAAUUCUGCUCAUAGUUUUGUCAUAUCAAAAAGGGGGAGAUUGUUAGCUUUAAAAUUAUUAUAGUUUUGAUUAUGACAAAAUGAACAAAUUUGCUUGAACAUUAUUUGAGUGAUCCUUGACAAAUUCUUGAAAUGAUUUAACUCCCAAACAUUUGUUCUUCCAUAGUUACAAGCUUAAAUCUUGAAGUUACUGAACUAUAUCUAUAAGCUUUUAUGACUUAGGCAUACGAGUGCUUAUGAUUCUCAUUCAUUAAUGUCUGAUUUAAGGAUUAAAUGAAAAUCUAAAUGCACUCAUUAAGGGGAGUUUUGAAUAUCUUUUUUAAUGAUGACAAAAAAAGUGAGAAGGAAGACUAAGUUAAAUAGAGUUUGAUAGGUCUUCAUGUUUAAUUUAUGUGUGUGAUACUUAGUUAUGGUUUUGUUGAAUAUUAUGUGCUAGUUAUUAUAGUAUUCAAUAUAUCUUGCUUAGCUACUAUGAAUAUUGUAUAUCUUGAUUAGCUAUUGUGGAUAUUAUAAAUAUUUUAUUGCAAAUCUUUAAAGAAAACUAAAUGCAUUAACUAAAGGGGAGUAACUCAUUAUGCAUAAAGAUUUGAAGCAUUCAUAUUGAACAUGGACAUUGCACUCUUAAUCUAGAAGUAUUUUGUUAUCAUUAAAAAAAAAGAGAGAGAGAAUGUUGACUCAUUGUGUUUUUGAUGAUAACAAAACAUUUCUAUUCAUUGGUAUCUAAUUAUAUUAUUUAAGUGUGUAGGAGAAAGCUUAAAUUCAUUAAUACAUUUGGUAUUUGAAAGCAAGUUAAGAUGCUUGUUCAGUUGCAAGAUGGGUUAAUUGGUAAAACAAGCAAAAAAGAAAGAGCUUUAAUGAAGACAGAUUAGUCUUAACCGAUUAACAUAAAUUUUUAAUUAAUUAAAGCAAUUCUGGGCACUACACUUGUAACCACCUUCUCCUUGAUUGUUAUCGACGUUCGAGACUUGCGAGUGAGCCUGGCAAAUCCCGAACAAGCCUUAGUUGAGAUUCCUGUUACUUAGUUUGGAUAUUUUAAUGCGUAUACAAGUCAACUUGUAAUAAUGUUGCCAAUUGCUUAAAUCGAAUAAAAUGUUGUCAUCCAGACAUAGCGACUAAAUAACCAUUGUCCAACUCUAGUAGAUUUUAAAACAAAUUCAAACAUACUUAAUAUUCAUUACACAAACUUAAGGUUUUAGCAAUACAUUACAGAUAAACUAAUAAUUUUUAUAAGUCUAACUGUUUUACACAACAUGACCCCUAUGCAGCGGAACGACUUAGAGUGGAAGUCUAAGAGAUACCAUUACCUACGUCUCAGUGAAACAAAAUAAUGUCGGAGUAAUACACUUGAGCUGAUCACUUAUCUGCAAAAGGAAGAUAAAGAGGGUGAGUCCCAUAGACUCAGUGAUCAUCGGCUCAGUGAGCAGGGCGUAGAUGGGAAACAAGCUAGGGAUAGAAAAUUUAAAUAUUAAAACAUAAGAGCAUAUAUAAAAAAUUUAACUCAAAAAGAAGUUUUGUGCCAUACAUGAAAACCAAGAAUUUUAAUGCAAGAUAAUAAUUUAAAUCAAGUAUCAAAACCAGUACAAGUAAAGAUUUCUACCAUCGAAAUCAUUUAACAACUUUACUGAAAGCGAAUCAGUAUAAUCACGCAUGCUCCCGUGGAAUCAAACAUUACUAAAACUUAUACACAAGUUCGCAAAUCAUCUCGGCGUCGAGAAGUUUAAAAACAAAAUCACUGUAUAAAACACGGAGUUGUGGAACAACUGUCAUCCUCACCAUGCGAAAAGAAUUCAUGUUUAAAAACCCAAAGAGACAUCGCUCUUAAGUAGAUAAUCAUAGUAAAUCACUCGUGGACCCGCUUCCAUGUAAUAACAAUCUGGGAGGUUCUCUUUCACCUGAUUCCCACAACAAUGGCAGUCUCGAUGAUGUUGGCUGAUAUCAGAGAAAUCAAGUGGUCGCAACCACGUAUAACAACUUGUGGCCUAGCCAUGUAUAUAUAUCACAGAUUGUGGCCCAAACCACGUCUAACAGCCCAUCGGUGACCCAAAGGUUCUCUAGCUAGAGCUCACUUGUGCACAAGGGUCACACUAUCCCGAUGUAACAUUUGACCUACUAUCGAAUCUCCCGGUUUGGUAAAACCAUUUAAAAAUCAAGUUGGGUUCCUAAAAGCUGAUUUCAAAUCCAUUUCAAAAGUACCAAUCAUGGUAACGUGAUAAAACCUCUUUUUGUAAGACUUUGCAAUGUAAAACCUUUGUAUGAGGUUUAAAUACCAAAUCAGCAUGGUGAAUAUGUAAUUUAUUCAUGAAUGCACAUUACACAACCAAUAAGGCACAUUUUGAUGUAAACCGUGUUAAAGAGCUUGUUUCCCGAUUUCUAAAACCCUUUACAUAUAUGGCUAUAUAUACAUAUAUGCAAAACCUUGUUAAAAGCAUGACAUUCACAAGCCUAACAUUCUACCAACUUAUGCUGUCCACAAUUGAACUUAAAGUAAACCAACACCUCUAUUAAUCAUAUAUUGACAUAUAUUUAUGGAAAUUUUAAAAUAGACACACCCUACUAACCUUACAAUAGCAGGACACUAUGUCACUAUCGAUUUGGGUGUGUAUCUAGCUAAUUCUACUUGCCGAUCACCUGUUACCUCCUCCGGCACGCCACCAUAGCACAUUUUCCUGACUUAUACACUUCCUAGCAACCAUUCAAACCUAAUACACUUAAUUAUACUUGAAAACAAGUAGCACAUCAAUCAAUAAAUCCUUAACCUAAUUUCAUAGUUUUCAUCAACAUUAUUCAAAAUCAUUUAACAUACAAUCCACAUACUUUCAACCAACCAAAGCCAACACAACACAAUGUAGUCACAUUGCAUGCUUACCUCUUGGUUUUAGCUUGAAUUCCACAUAUAGUUCACCAUUUCCUCACACCCUCGGUCACCAUUGCUGCCACAAGCAUAGACAAUUAAUACACGUCUCAUUUCCCUUGUCUACUUGUGAUUUCAAGACUAAAACACUUACACAUUGCUUAUCUAGCUCAAAAUCACCAUGCAUUCCAAGAUCCACCUACAUGCAUGCACCCGGUUCUUGAAUCCUUGAAGAUUCUUUUUGUCACAAGCAAAAUUUCACAUUAUAAUUGGUUCAAGAAGCAUGCAUUUAAACAAAAUGAUAAUUUUUACCUUCCUUACCUUGGGAUCUAUAAGCCAAACCACAAAGGUCUCUUUAAACUCCAACAAUGGCAUGUGUGGGGAGGAAAACCUCUCGGCUUUUCUCCAACUCCUCCAAAAUUGAGCCUCCCUUUUAGCUUUCCUUCUUUCUCCCUUCUCCUUUUUCUUUUCUUUCUUUCUCUUUUCUUCUUUCUUUCAAGCCGAUUCUCUUUCUUUCUUCCCUCUCAACUUUUCCUCUCCUUUCGGAUGGACACUUCACAAAGCCAUUUCCUCUUCAUUUCCCUUCCAAAUGGGUAGCCCUCUCAAGGCAAACUCACUUGUUUGCUCUUUCUUUGAUAUGGGCAGAUAUCACAAGAAAUGAGUUUGGAAUAGCCUUGUGAAAGCCUUCUUUUCCUUUCCUUUUCUUUCAUGGGCGGAUUGCCCAAGGCUUAUCAACUUUUGGUAUUUUUCUUUACAUGUCAUGCCAUUCAAUUCCUCACUUUGUUAUUAAUGCCACUUUCCAUUGGUGGCUUGUGCAUGCAAGGUUUCCUUUUAUGCACCACCUUAUUCCUCCAAUCACAUUUCAUGCACAAGCUUCACUUUAUAUUUUAUUUGGUCACUUAUUAAACCAUUCAAGUCACAUGCAUCCCACAUCUUUCUUUCCUCAUUAAGCCAUCUGAUGCACCGAUCUUAUUACAUGCACAGAAACUUAGUCUUAUUCUUCUUUUUACUUCACAUGAUGGGGGUCUCACAUGUUCCUCACUAACUUCUCUUUUUUGCAUGCUAUAAUUUGCAUGUAAUAGUAAAUUCACAUGCACAUCUCAUUAUGCCACAUAAUCUAACUUUCUUUGGUUAGUUAAUUUUUAUUUAACUCUAAAUAUUGAAAUUAUGCAUAAGUCCUCAAACUUUUCCUUAUUUACCAUGUGCCCCUCCAAACUUUUCAUCCUUUACAAUUUGGUCCUUCCAACAUUUAUUUAAUUCCUAUUUCCUUCUAUUUUCCUUCCUUCACACUAGUACAAAUAGAAUAUAAAAUUUGUAGUUCACCAAGGUGUCACCAUAAUAUUUAAAUAUAUACUUACCCGUUCUUACUCUAUUUAAUAAAGGCACGUGGGCCCCACUAAUAUCGUUUUUCUUCAAAAUUCUUUCUUGCUUCUUCUCCCCCAUUUAGAUUAGUCAUAUAACACUCCUCUAUGACUAAUCUCAACAAUAGAUAAAAUAUUAAUAUUUUAAUAUUAUUUUAUUCAUAAAAUAUUAUUUUAUUCUAAAUAUUCUUUUCACAUGUUAUUGCUCUUUGGGACUUAAAUUUAUGACAAUUAACCAUUUGUCUUAUUGAUAAGGUCUUAUUGGCUUCUAUACAAGGGUACGAGGUGUUACAGUCUCCCCUACUUAAAACAAAUUUGUCCUUGAAUUUAAAUAAAGUGGGUUGGUAAGGCUUACCUUAGUCUCAAAAGAGGUGUGGGUAUUUCUUCUUCAUUUCCUCUUUGGGUUCCUUGGUUGCCUUUUCCACUGAUCAACUUUGCCACAAGAUCUUUAUUGAGGCAACUUCUUUAGAGCACAAUUGCUUCACUUGUCGAUAUAAUAUUGCUACUAGUUGCUCUUCAAAAGUUAAUCCUUCAUCCAAUGUAACCAAAUCAUAUCGUAUAACAUGUGUCGGGUCCUUAACAUGCUUUCUCAACAUAGACACAUGAAAAGUGGGAUUCACACGAGCUAGCUCCAUGGACAAAGCUAAUCGAUAUGCUGUUAACCCAAUUCGUUCUAAGAUCUCGAAAGGUCCAAUAUAUCUCAGACUCAACUUCCCUUUCUUUCCGAAUCUUUUACUUUGUUUCAAUGGAGACACCUUUAAAAUACAAAAUCUCCCACUUGAAACUCUAAAGGGCGACACGUAUUAUUUACAUAAGGCUUCUGUUUACUCUAAUCCAACUUUAGACAUUCCCUCACCAAACUUACCACUUCGAUUGCUUGUUGCACCAAAUCAGGACCUAAUAAUUUCCUUUCUCCCACUUCAAACCAUCCAAUGGGUGAUCUACACUUUCGCCCACACAACACUUCAAAAGGAGCCAUUCCAAUACUGGCUUGGUAGUUGUUAUUAUAUGCGAAUUUCUCCAAAGAUAACUAUUGAUUCCACGUGGUUCCCAAAUUCAACACUAUUGACCUUAGCAUGUCUUCAAGCAUUUGUGUCACACGUUCUGACUAACCAUCUAUUUGAGGAUUAUUACAGUACUACAAUCUAAACGAGUGCCUAAAGCUUCAUCUAAACUUCUCCAAAACUUAUUGGUAAACUGUGGCCUUCGAUCAGAUACUAUGGUCAUGGGAACUCCAUGCAAUCGCAUGAUAUAGUCAAUGUAAACCUUGGCAUAUUUACCUGACCCAUAGUUAGUCUUUACAGGAAUAAAGUAAGCAGAUUUGGUCAAUCAAUCCACUAUUACCCAAAUCGAAUCAUAUCCCCCUCUGACACGGGAUAAUCCAGUCACAAAAUCCAUAACCACAUGUUUCCUUUUCCAUUCGGGAAUUGACAGGGGUUGUAGCAAACCUAGGGGUUUCCCAUGUUCAGCCUUAACUUGUUGACAAGUUAGGCACUUGGCUACAUAUUUAGCUACAUCUUUCUCCAUGCCUGGCCACCAAUAAACCAUUUUCAAAUCAUGAUACAUCUUUGUGGCUCUUGAAUGUACAGUGUAGGCAGUAAUGUGAGCUUCCUUUAAAAUCUCUUCCCUCAAGUUAUCUCGAUCUGGUACAUACGUUUGGAAUUCAUAUUUCAACAAUCCAUUAUCUCCAUACAAAAAAUUCUGAUCUCGCUCUUCAGAUCCUAAGAUUCUUAUCACAAAUUCAUCUUGAUCCUGAGCAUCGUGAAUUCGAUCCAAGAUCAUUGGUUGUACUCGAAAAUGAGCAAUAAGGACAUUAGGCCCACAAAUAUCAAUCUUAACCCCAUACAGCAUAAGCUUUUCCAUUUGCACACUAUACUUCUUCAUUCAACAGACUAAUGUGCCAAACUCCCCAUAGACUUUCGACUCAAAGCAUCAGCUACUACGUUCACCUUACUAGGGUGAUAUUGAAUGGUGCAAUCGUAAUCCUUGAGCAAUUCCAUCCAUCGGCAUUGCCUUAAAUUAAGAUCACGUUGUAGAAAUAUAGACUUUAAACUCUUAUGGUCAGUAUAUAUUUCAAAGCUUUCUUCGUAUAGAUAAUGACGCCAAAUCUUUAAUGUAAAUACUAUCACUGCCAUCUCCAAGUCAUGAGUAGGAUAGUUUUGCUCAUGCCUCUUGAGUUGCCUUGAAACGUACGCACUAACUCUACCAUUUUGCAUCAACACACAUCCCAAUCCAACUCUCGAUGCAUCACAAUACACAACUUAACCUCCUGUACCAUUUGGUAAACUUAAGACUGGUGUCAAAAUCAAACACUCUUUCAAUCUUAAGAAACUAUCUUCACAUUCAUCAGUCCAUUCAAAUUUAGCUCCCUUUCGCAUCAACUUUGUCAAUAGUUCUGUGAUUUUUGAGAAAUCCUGCACAAAUCGACGAUAAUACUCGACCAAUCCAAGAAAACUUUGAACCUCGAUAAUUGUUCUCGAUCUUAACCAAGCUUGAAUCGAUGCAAUCUUUUUUGGAUCCACACUAAUCCCUUCCUUCGAUAUCACAUGUUCGAGAAAGCUAACACUCUCUAACCAAAAAGCGCACUUAGAGAACUUUGCAUACAAUUCAUGUUCUCGAAGUGUCUGCAACACCAUUCGUAAAUGUUGUGCAUGUUCUUUGGGGCUCUAAGAAUACACCAAGAUAUCAUCGAUAAACACCACCACAAAUCUAUCCAAAUAGGUCUAAAACACUCUAAUCAUUAAAUCAAUGAAAGCUGCGGGAGCAUUAGUUAAGCCAAAGGACAUUACCAAAAACUCAAAAUGCCCGUACCUCAUACGGAAUGCUGUUUUUGGUAUAUCCUCUUCCCGAAUUCUUAACUGAUGAUACCCAAAGCAUAAAUCAAUUUUUCAAAAAUAUCGUGCCCCUUGUAGUUGAUAGAAUAAAUCAUCGAUCUUGGGAAGUGGGUAUUUAUUCUUAAUAGUCACACUAUUCAACUUCUGAUAAUCCACACAUAACCUCAAGCUUCCAUCCUUUUUCUUUACAAAUAAUACCAGAGCUUCCCAGGGUGAAGUACUUGAUGAAUAAAUCCCUUUUCCCCUAACUCUUGCAAUUGCUAUCGCAGUACUCACAUCUCUACUAGUGUUAUUCGAUAAGGAACUUUAGAUAUUGGUUCCGUGUCAGGAAUCUGUUGGCUCCAUUAGUUUUUGAUGAUAAUAAAAAUUUCCAUUCAUUUGUGUAUUGAGAAACAUAAAAGACUUAGUCAACUAAGAAAUGGGUUAGUCAACUAAGAGUCUACUGUCAAAAAUCUAGACUUCAAGACAGAACCAACUUAAUCGACUAAGAAGGAAGUUAGUCGACUAAGUACUCACUGCCAGAAGUACAGAUCAAAAGACAGAAACAACUUAGUCGAGUAAGAUAUUAGUUAGUCGACUAAGAGCAUUCUGCCAGAAAAUUUUAAUUGUGCACUAGAAGAUAGAUUAACGGUUAGAACUGCAACAAAACUAUAUCCAAUGGUCAAAAACUACCUAACACCUAUCAGAGUUGAUUUUCCAAGUAUUUAAAAGCCUUCCAAUAGCGAGAAAUGUACUUUAGGCUUCCAAGAACAAAAAGAGCUCAAAAACCAAAAAAUACUCUCUGCUCAUUUAUUGCACUCAACUUUUAUCUUUGUAAUUGUGAUAUGCACUUCACUUUGUACCACUUAGAUCAACCUUGUGAUCAUAGGUACACUCUUAUCACUUCUCUCCUUGUAGUCUUAGAGUGAGCAAGUCACUUUAAGGGAUUGAUUCAAGCUAGGAUUGCUUGAUUGAGCAUAGGUUCUAACUUUUCCUUGAAAAGGUAGGUGUUGGGUUUUAGUUGAUCCCGGUAAAAAAUAUUGUGAAAGGUUUUGGCUAAGCUUGGUAAAAUCCAUUGUAAAAGCUUGGUGAAAGCUUGUGAAUUUCACUGUUAUUAGUGGAUUGAUUGGAAAAUCCUUGGUUAAACAAUCAAGGUAGUGGAUGUAGGUUUUGGACCGAACCAUUAUAAAUUCUUGUAUGAUUGUGUGCUCUGUUUUUAGUUUUUCAUUCAUUCUUAAUUCUUUCUUUUAUCUUGCAUUUGUCCCCAAUUAGAAGUCAAUUUUCGUAAGAGUCAAAAAGUGCUAUUCACCCCCCCUUAGCACAUUUACUUGGGACCAACAAGUGGUAUUUGAGCAAGUUCCCUGAUCUUAAGGUCUAACACCCUUUGGGAAGAUCCAAAUGGCUCUUCAAAAAUUAGUAGUGGCUGAAGGACAAUCAACAAACAGACCACCUCUAUUUGAUGUCUCAAAUUACCCUUAUUGGAGUACUAGGAUGUCAAUAUAUAUUAGGGCAAUUGAUUAUGAGAUGUGGGACAUCAUAACUGAUGAACCAUUCAUUCCCUCAACUUUAAAUGUAGUGACCAACGAGAUGAUCCCUAAGCCAAGGUUUGAAUGGACCGAGGUUGAAACCAUAAAGGUCUAAACCAAUUUUAAGGCAAUCAAUACAUUGCAUUGUGCUCUAACUCCCACCGAAUUCAGCAAAGUAUCAAGCUGUACAACAGCAAAAUAGGUGUGCGAUAAGCUUAGGAUUAUCUAUGAAGGGACUUCUCAAGUCAAGGAGUCCAAGAUAGCCCUCUUGACCCACAAUUUGAAAUGUUUAAGAUAGAGCUUGGUGAAGAUAUCACCAGCAUGCUAAAUAGAUUCACAAACAUCACAAACAAACUAAGUCAGCUAGUCAAACCAAUAACCGAGCAUGAAAAUGUUAAAAGACUUCUUAGAAGCCUACUCAAGAAUUAGAAGCCUAGGUGACAUCCAUCAAAGAAGCCAAGGACUUAAAUGUUAUAACUUUGGAUGAAAUUUGUGGUUCUCUCCUUAAAUGUUAUAACUUUGGAUGAAAUUUGUGGUUUUCUCCUUACUCAUGAGCUAGAACUCAAGGAAGAGGAAGAAGAAGAUAGAAGGGAAGUAAAAGUAAAGAAGAAGAGCAUCGCCUUAAAAGUCAGCAUUCUUGAAGAAGAACUGGACGAGCUAUCCUAUGAUGAUGAUGAAGAAUUGGCACUAGUUGCAAGGAGAUUCAGAAAGCUUAUGGGCCAAAGGAACCGGAGAUUGGCAAAAAGAGGGUUUAGAAGAGAUCAAGGUUUUUCAUGGAGAAUAAGAAAUAAAAAUGACUCCAAUAAAAAGGAAGAGCUUACAUGCUUCGAAUGCAAGAAGCUUGGACAUUUCAAGUCUGAAUGCCCCUUGUUGAAAGAAUAAACUUCAAAGAAAAACAAGAAAUCAAAGAAGGGAAUGGUGGCAGCUACUUGGUCAGAUAGUGAUACUUCAAGUUCUGAAGCCGAGGAAGAAAAAGCUAAAGAAAGAGCAAACUUGUGUUUGAUGGCAUGGGAUGAUGAAUCUGAGGUAUCCUCAUCCCCUUGCAAUAUUUCUGUUGAUGAACUUCAGGAUGAAUAUGAAUGUUUAUAUGAUGAAUUUGAGAAACUUGUUUUGAAAUACAAGACUUUAAAGAAAAAGUCUGCAUCUCUAGAAUCUGAUUUGGAAAAUAUUAAACUUGACUUUGAUUCUGUUUUUGAACAAAAAACAUUUCUACAAAUUGAAUUGGAACAUUCAAAAACAAAUUUUGAAACUCUAAAAUUGGAAUUGGAAAGCAAAACUGAAGCCUUACAAAAGGUAAGUGAAGAAAAUGUUGCACUCAAAUGUUUAAAAAAUGAAACUCCAAAAAGAAAUGCAUGCUUCAAGAAGAAUUCCAUUAAGGCAUCAUCUAGGUGUUAUAUUUGUGAUAGAAUUGGUCAUCUAUCCUAUGAUUGCUGUAGAAAAAGAAAUGUGUAGAAAAUUAAAAAAAUUUGGAUUUUAAAAGGAUCCUUUGUUGUUGCUAACAAUCAAGGACCCAUCAAGGUAUGGGUACUUGUUAAGAAAAAGUGAUAAUUUGUUUUGUAGGUUGAGCUGAAUCUAAAAGACACAUGUUCAAGAGCUCAACUAAAGAAAAAAGAACCAUGGUUUAUGGACAGUGGCUGCUCAAGGCACAUGACUGGAAAUGAAAUGCUGUUUGCUUAGCUAGACAAGAAAAAAAGAGGUACCGUUUCCUUUGGUGAUGAUUUAAAAGGUAGAAUUCAUGGCAUAGGAAUGGUUGGUAAGAACGCCCAAAGUCAAAUUAGUCAUGUGUUAUUGGUUAAAGGUUUGAAACAUAAUUUAUUAAGUUUUAGCCAAUUGUGUGACAAAGGUUUUAAGGUAUGUUUUAACUCAACUAAAUGUGAAGUGAUAGAUAUAAGUACUAACAAAGUCUCAUUUAUAGGAAAAAGAAUAAAGAAUAUGUAUGUUGUAUUUCUUGAGAAUCUUGAAAUGGAUUGUGAAACAUGUCUUGUAGCAAAAGUUGAAAAUGAUGGCCAGCUAUGGCAUAGGAGAGUUGGACAUGUAAGCAUACAUACCAUGUCAAAGUUAAUUAAGAAAAAUCUGGUUAUAGGAUUGCCUAAGCUUAAACUUGAGGAUGAUCAAAUCUGUGAUGCGUGUCAAUUAGGUAAACAAACUAGAACAUCUUUUAAAAUCAAGAAAGUUGUCCCCACAUCUAGACCUCUUGAAUUGCUGCACAUUGAUCUAUUUGGUCCAAUAAGUACAGCUAGUUUAGUAGGAAAAUCUUAUGGCUUUGUAAUAGUUGAUGACUACUCUAGGUUCACUUGGGUUUAUUUUCUUGCUCAUAAGAAUGAUGCUUUACGAGCAUUUAUAAGUCAUUGUAGAAAGGUUGAAAAUGAAAAAGGACUAGCUAUAGUUAGUAUUAGGAGUGAUCAUGGAAGUGAGUUUGAAGGAGAUGAAUUUAAGAAUUUUUGUAAUGAAAAGGGGUUGAAUCAUAAUUUUUUUGCACCUAAAACACCCUAGCAAAAUGGAAUUGUAGAAAGGAAAAACUGAACCUUGAAAGAAAUGGCUUGAACUAUGCUAUGUGAGAAUAAUCUACCUAAAUACUUUUGGGCAGAAGCUGUUAACACAACAACUUAUAUUCUUAAUAGAGUGCCUAUAAGAGCCAUGAUAUCAAAGACCCCAUAUGAGCUAUACAAAGGUAGGAAAACAAAUAUCUCUCACCUUAGGAGCUUUGGCUAUAAAUGCUUUGUGUUGAAUAAUGGAAAAUAGCCUUUAGGAAAGUUUGAUGCAAAGAAUGAUGAAGCUAUAUUUCUAGGAUAUGUAUUAAACUCCCAAAUUUGAUGGAGCCCAAUUAGUAGGUACUCUAAAUGGAUCUCUUUCUGGAUUAUUAAGUUCAGGACACCAUCGGCUUUCAGCAGUGAAAUCUAUUGGUCCCUCACUAACACUUUGUGAAACAUCAGAAUCAUUGUCCCCCCUAGACAUGUUAAGUGUAAUCCAACACACUUCAAAACCUAUGUGAAAUCAAAUGACAAUCACUUAAUCUCUUAUACACCCUGAAAACAAACGAGUCUCUAUAUGUAGACUCAUGCAUUCUAUUCGACUUAACUUAACUCGGGCCACGUAGUGUCAGUGCGGAUUUCUCAAAAUAAUUUUAAACCAAAUAUUUUGAUUUUUAAACCCAAAAUCAUGCUCUGAUACCAACUUAAUUGUCACGACCCAAAACUCCCAUCGAGCCAGUGACAACCGCCACGAAGUCUCGUUAGACAUUCUUUACCUCGAAUGCUGAACGAAACCUCGUAAGGCUUUCGUAUCAGUUUUCUUACCUCCCCUGUGAUCGACAGUAACUAAAAUCGUGUUUUGCAACGAUGUGGACCAUUUUCCCAUCCAAAAACAAUGAAAUUUUAUUUCUGUCUCAUGAGGGUAUUUUAGUCAUUUUUUUUCUUUUCUUUUCCGAAAAUUUUGAAAUCUGUAAAAAUAUAAUAUGUAAGUGGAAACACAUAUUUCAUGAUUUAAAUUAAAUUUUGAAGUCUAAAACAUUCGUUUAAAGUAAAAUUAUAACCAUUUGAAUAUAAUAAAAAUAUUAAAUAAAAUAUUAUACUUUCUUAAAACACAAUAUUUUCAAAGUCUUCCUAAAAUAACUUUUGUAGCGUAAGAGUAAAAUAAAUUUAUUCAUAUAGUAAUAAAGAUAAUUAAAGUAUGAAAUUUCGUUUAUAGUGAUAAGUGGGCCCCUAACUGACUAAGAAGGUGUAGGGCUACGAACCCUUACUUUCUAGGAUGCAACUCCGAGAUUAAUUUUCGUCUUAAUCAACUAUCAACAAACUAUCCUUAGCCUGAAAAAUGGAUAGGAAGAGGGGUGAGAUUACAUAAUCCCAGUGAGUAAACAAUUACCAAGAAAAACAUUUAAAGCCGAGUAGAUGGAGACAAUAUAAAAACGUUAUAUCUUAAUAAUGUUCAUAACGCAAAAUUCGUUUCAAUCUAUACCAAACAAUUUCUUUUCAUCAAAAUUUCCCGGCUUAUGAAUUUCUUAAACUUGGCCCCUGCCAGAAUCAUUCUCGCGGGUACCUUCAUCAAGUUAUCCCACUGAGACCGCCAAGGCUGUUAAAUGUCCCAUACCCAUAAACAUGUUUUCACAUUUGACACACAGUCGUUCCUUAGCGUUGGCUGAGUCUCACUCUCACGUGGUGGCCUGAACGUGAGGUGCACUCAAAUCUUACCUCAGGAGAUACUUCAUCCAACAUCUCCCCCCUGAGGUAAAUAUAUAAUUGGGUUAUCGUACCCCUCUCAUAGGCAGUCCACGGAAACCCCCACCACUGUAGUGACCGUUUAAUAUACCACCAGACCCAUAAAAUUUUCAGUAGCAUAAUAUGGCGAAUAAAAUGUAAUCUAGUCUACCGAGACCAAUCCAAAAC